Molecule: long non-coding RNA, 79232 nt
Filed under: Medicago truncatula (barrel medic)
Lineage: Eukaryota; Viridiplantae; Streptophyta; Magnoliopsida; Fabales; Fabaceae
Description: long non-coding RNA (MTRU_LNC006180)
Rfam family: MIR2680 microRNA precursor family (bases 31838-32005)
Source: RNAcentral
UUUUUAAAAGAGUACUAAUGAAAUUAAAUAACGUGAUAUAUAAAUAAUGAAAAGACUUCGGCUGUUUUUGUUCUUAAAAGAAUACAUUUUUCAAGUAGGUGUCAUCUGAUCUUUUAUUUUGGCUAUCAUCUGUUGUUAUUUCGUCUCUUAUUUUAAAUAUAAUCUUUUUUUAACAAGUUUUAUAUAUUAUCUUUGCUCUUCAAAAAGUAGAAAAAAUUAGAGAUGUAUUCUUUUUUAGAAAAAAGCAUAUUUAAAAUUAUAAAAUCUUUCUGUAACUAAAAAAUAUUGUCAUUCGUAAUGAAAAUACCUAAUUACGAAAAAUAUAUAAAUAUAGAAAUUUGUUUACAAUUUUUAAGUUUAGUAACAUAUAAAUAUUUUUCAUAUAUUUAGUUGCCUACAUAGUAAUUCCACCUUUUAUGUAUUAUCUUUACUCUUGUCAAAAAAAAAAAAUGUAUUAUCUUUACUAUUCGAAAAAGUAAUAAAAAAUGAAAGAUGUAUUUUUUCUAGACAAAAGAAGACUUGGAAAAUAAAAAUCGGUAGCUUGUCAUUUUAUUUAAUUUUCAAUACAUUUGUCUAUAGUACAUUUAUUAGGGUACAACUUUUGUCUAUAUUACUACUAAAUUAAAUUUAUUAGUUUACCGCAAAAAAUGUUAGUAAAUUAAGUUUAAAAAGAGGCAAACAGUAUGACCAGAGAUGUUAUCAACUUCCAUCAAUCAUCCUUCAAUUAUUGUGUUAAAGUAGAGUGAUAUUUUUUCUUACUUUAAAAAAGUAGUUUGGGGAAAACUACUUUUGUAAUGGAAAAUAAAAAUAACGUUGGGUUUAUUAGAUUGCGUGGAACAUAAAAAUCUGAGAAGAGCCAAUUAAUUAGUUUGAAAUUUGUAUCCAAAAAAAUUGGAGUUCAAAGAUGUGCAAUGCAUUGUUAGAUUUGAAAGUGAAACAACUUAUCUUAUGUCUUGGUGAGUAUUUUUAUUUUAGCAAUCAAAUUAAUUUGGUAUAUAUGUUGUUUUUGGCUUCAAAUUUGCGGUUUGGAAGAACAGAAAAAUCGUGUCACGAUUUUCAGGCAGGGAGCAUGGUUUCUCAGGGUGCUCAAUCGUGUCACGAUUUUGGGAAAACGUGACAUGAUUUUCAAACUUGCUGGGUACGUUUUCAGGAUAAGGUUGGUUAUACCUUGGGUCGUAUGCACCAAUCGUGCCACGAUUUGGAAAACGUGAUACGAUUUGGAAAACGUGAUACGAUUUUGACAGCUGAAGACUGUUAUAUAAGUGUUCUUGUACAGUUUUUGAAGGAGAUCAGCUUGAAGUGAGAGAAACUUGGAUUACAAAGGAGGUAACUUUAGGGUUGAGUGUCUUUGUAGUGAGGAUCUCUUGGAUUGGGAAACAUUGUAAACACCUUGGGUAGUGAGAUUUCACUAUUGGAAGGAUCAAAAGUUUCCUUUUGUGUCUUCUCUUAGGGUUCAUCAUUGAGAGAGUGGGAAACACAAAUGUGUAGAAGUUAGGUCUUGUUCUUGUGUAAGCUUGCAGGCUAUUUUUCUUGUAACUCUUUGUAACACUUUCAUCAUAGUGGAUUGGAGAGUUGCUCUCUCCCCCAGAUUAGGUCAUAUUGGACCGAACUAGGUCAACAAUCUUUUUGUGUGUUUGUUCCUUUCUUUCAUUGCUUAUCUUUGUGCUUUGUUUAUGCUUGUGGUGUUGCUCUACACUAAGUCUAGGUCUGCUUUGUUGUUGUUGCUUGGAGACACUUUACACAUUAAUUGAUUACCACUUCCUUUGCUCCACACAUCUUUGUUAUUCAUUGGUGUGAUUUUUACCAGAAUUCACAACAAUAUACAUUUUCCGAGCUUAAUUUUCUAUUGUUUUUGUAACUGAACAAAAAUUUAUCUAUUAUGCAGCACCUUACAUGUCACAUAUCAAAUUACUACCUCCGUCCUUAAUUAUAAGACCCUUUUGAGUAAUUUUUUUGUCCCUUUUUAUAAGACCCUUUUGGUAUUUCCAAGUACAUUAAUUAUUUCUUUACCAACAUACCCUUAUUUAUUUUGCAUCUUUUUCUUCAAUCAACAAUAAAUAUUAGGCUUAAUUACACUUUUGGUCCUCGUGUUUUGGCCUACUCACGAAACUAGUCCUGCCCUUUUAAAACAGAACAAAACGGUCCUUCAAUUAUCAUUUUUGUUGCAUUUUUCGUCCGACCUCCUAUUUUCAAACUCCAGAAACGCAGAGAAAUGACAAUUUUAGGCGGUUUUAGACCUACCCAUAUGCUCAACCAUGAAAUCAAUAAGGAAUAAAACAUGUGGGCACAAGGAAUCUAUUCUAUUCAGCACACUAACAAAAAAAACCCUAAUUUAAAACAUAUCUGAGAAAUUAGGACUUUUUUGGUUAGUGUGUUGAAUAAAGUGGAUUCUUUGUACCCGCGUGCUUUAUUCUUUGUUUAUUUCAUGGUUGAGCAUAGGUGGUAGGUCUAAAACUGUCAUUUGUCUGCGUUUUUGGAGAAUAAAAUGGGGGGUAGGACGAAAAAUGCAACAAAAAUGAUAAUUGAAGGACCGUUUUGUUCUGUUUUAAAAGGGCAGGACCAGUUACGUGAGUAGGCCAAAACACGAGGACCAAAAGUGUAAUUAAGCCUAAAUAUUAUGUUGAAAACAUAAAUUAAUCUCUCUCUUAAGGAUAAAAUUGUAAAAACAGUAUUAAUUACAUACAAAUUUAAUACUACAACCAACUUUCUUAAUCUCUGUAAUUUUUGCAAAAGACUUCUAUAAUUAAGGACGGAGGUAGUAUAAAAUAGUAAGUUAUUGUCUUCAAAUAGAUUGUUAUUGUUGACUCGGAAAAUAAACAAAAUUUAAUUAAAAAUAAUAAAUUUGAGGGAUUUGCAGAGUGGUUACUUCCAUGAUUGCUGACGUGAUGUUAAUCAUGAUGUUGGAGAUGUAAGCAAAGGACGUGUUUUGCCCAACGUUUAGAACUUUUUGACUUUGGACCAUCCCUUCCAGAUGAGCUAUGGAAAUUUUAAAUAAUUGUUCUACCAUUUCAUUCAGUUUAACAAUGUCCUCAUCGUCAUCUCGGUAUUCCUAGGAAUUAGGGUAGUACUCCGACCAUUCUUGAGGAUAUUUGUUCCUUUGAUGUUCGAUAUAAGAUGCCAUGUACUUUCUUUGUUCUUCUGAUGACCCCAAACAUUUAGGAAAGCAUGUAUCAUUAAUAUAGAAUAGAAUAUUAGUCAUAAUUAGUUAUAAUUAUUUUCCUCUAAUUAUGUUGUAUCAUAAUUAGAUAGUUGACCUACACAUGUAUAAAUAUAUUCUAUUCACAUAAUGAAAAGGCAAUGAUCGUUAUUAGAUAGUUGUGCUAUAAUUGUCAAAACUUUAUGCAGCAUCAUCCGUUUUUGUAUCUGAUUCUCUAUUAUUAUUAUUUUCAAGGAUGAAUGAAUGUGUGUGACAUCCUUUUUCGUUAAAACCAUGAUCAUUAUUAUGUAAAAUUACCGUCAGGAAUUAGGGUGUUACAUCCUGCAUUCUAUCAGACUCGCUCCAUGCUCACCUUGGAAGAAGCCGGUAUGGGAAAAAUGGCACGCACCGGCUCCCAUGCUGCCAUGCACACAACUGAUUCACGACCUAAUUUUGAAGAGACCUCUCAGCAUGGCCAACGCCGCCCCAGCAACCGUUCUCGCUCCCGCAGCAGCCAGGGCCGCAGAGGGGGACGUGGCAACCAUAGUGCACCACAAUCUAGAGCUCCCGAUAUCCCGUCACCAUGGUCCCACUACUACAGAAAUGACAUUUCACAUCGGUUGAAAUCGACAUUUCACAUCGGUACCAACCGAUGUAAUUAAAGGUGAGGUUGUAUGUCAUUCACUUUUCACAUUAAUGAACGGUUGUGAUAUGUCUUAAACCACAUUGGGCACGAUCUUACUGAUUUGAUAUGUGAGCUAAUAGUCUGAAAAUAUAGGAUUUCACAUCGGUUUCACAAAGGCAGGCGAUGUCACAUAGGCAAAAUUCACAUCGGCAGUGAAGCACCCCGAUGUGAAUUCCAGUUUUCUAGAACACGUUUCACAUCAGUUGGAUGCACACUUAUGUGAAUUAUGACAUUUUUUCUUUUAAUUUUCUCAUUACGCCAGUACCAGAUCAAAAGCAAGAAAAUACGUUUCACAUUAGUUGGAUGCACACAAAACAAAAAACAAGUCAUGCUAUGUCACCAGCAGUACCAAAACACAAAAAAAAAAGGGGGGGCUCUCUCUCCAAGUGCCAAUAGAUCUCCCAGCUAGAAAUAACAGACCAAUAGUACUAAAUUACAUUGAAGCAUAUCUUAGCAAAUCCUAAGUUUCAUACAAUUCAAGAAAACAAGUUGCCCAAUCGUUUCGCAAAGCAUACAGCUCAUCUUCUGUUAAUGUUGUUGUAUCAUUGAAUACCUACAGUUUGUACAAUAGAUUAAGAUAAGUAAAAUAACAAUAAGGAUAUGUCUAGCUAUCUUAAUUUGGAAAUAUAUAUGGUGCAAACAUUUGAUAUACCUUCAUCCAAGAGGUAGUAAUAUUAGAAGAGACGAUGUCUAGCAUGUUCUUCAUAGGACGAAUGCAACGAAGCUUCUUUUAUUACCGUUUGCUAAUUGAUGAACCUCCAGAGCACUAGGUUAAAAAAAUCAUCAAAGUAAGUUCUAUCUUUUAGUGUUAUAGGAUUUGUAAUAUAACAAAUGCAACAUAAAAAUACACUUACGCUGAAACAAUUUCCUUCAUUGUUGUGUCAAGAUCUUUGUUAAAGAUCAAAGGACAACAAAUGUAUUAUCCUUUGGACAAAUGACGAUUAAUUUCCAAUGCCCUCGAUACACGUAAAAGAACAAUUAUUAACGUUUAAAUUAUCAAACAUAAAUAAGAGAAAACACAAAUUUAUAUAUACCUACUCCAUAAGAAAUGGUGCCAAGUAACACACUUUGUUCAUAUCACGCAACCUAGUUCGUAUGUAGGAUUUAAAUGGUUCUAUAUUCAUUGUGGACUUUGAUUUAAAACUCAAAUUUGUUGGGUCUAAAAAUCCAAACACAUUUGAUUUGUUUGUUUCAAUACAGAGACGGUGCAUACACCUGAAUAAAUUUGAAAUCAAUAUUAAAUAUUGUAGUCAUGAGACACAACACUAAUAGUUAAUGAUAGUAUUAAGCAAGAAUAUGUACAUACGUGCACCAAACUUGUAGAAUAGAAUAGUCAAGCCAAGCCCCGCCAACCAAUAAGUCUUUAACACAUUCUGGUGCAAUUAAGAAAUUUAUCACUUCCGGACCAUUUUCUAAUUUUAACCUUAGAUAUUGCUUCUCUUUCAAAAUCAUGCAUAUCACUUUCUGAACAUUGUUAGUGGUCAAUUCGUCCUUGUGAUUUUCUUGUGCUGCAGAACAAGAACCUUUUGCGCUUCCUAACACAACAACUUUUUCAGAACAGGGUUCAAUUUGUUUUUGUUUGGGAGGUAUCGAAUAAGCCCAUAUUCUUGAGUGUCUCCAUAAAUGAUUUUUGCAUCAACUGAUGCGUUGUGGCCAUCUGUUGUUCGAACUCUACUUUGCAUUCCGCUUUAAUUUUUGUUGCAAGUUUUUCUUCAAUUUUUGCUUCAAUCUCAUUGACAUUUAUGGUUUGCGUUGGGCAUGAAGACCUUCCAAAGUAAUUGCUUAUAGUAGCACCUCUUCCACCUCUUCCAAACAGGAACCAAAACCAGGCCCUGCACCUGAACAUAAAAACCAGGGAACUAAAAAACAACAACAGAACAACAGUAUCACAGCAAAACUGCUGCUAACAACACCCACCAGCACAAAACAAAUUAUUUAUACCUCUUUCUAGACGAAUCUUAUUAUAUCCUAUGAAGCCAAAUUCAAUUUGAACAAACAAACAAGUAUAGUUGGUAUGAAUUACACCAGAACUAAGUAAUAUGAAGAAAAAAAGAGAAUAAUUAAAAUUGUAUAAAGAAAAGGGUCAUAGAGAAUAAACAAUAUUAAAGCUAUUUUGACAAGUUAGUAAUUGAAGUUUAUAUCAGCUGUGAAUGAAAAUUCCUGUGAACAUGCUAUUUUUAUCAUACUAUUUAUAUCAUAUUCUUGAACAUACUUUUUUUUUUUUGGAAUCAAUACAAUGUAUUCUUGAACAUAAUUUUAUUUAAUGAUUUAAUUAUGAAGGUAAGAGAGUUUGAAAUUAAUUCAAUGGUAGUAUGCUAGAAAACUUUUAUCAAUUCCCACCACUGAAUGAUAAUUUCAUAGAUACAUGAGAAGUUCCCAAGUUUGGAAGUAAUUCCUCAAUUAAAGCCCACCGAGCUUUUAUUAAGAAUAAAAAAAAACCACCGAGUCCUAGAAAAAAGUGUAAAUUCAAUGUAUCCUUUAGUGUCCAACGAUCACAACAUAAAUGCUAUCUAAAAAUGGUGGACUAAACCCUUCCAUAGUAACCAUAUACACCAUCAACAUAACACAAUAAAUCAGUUAAGCAAAUUGAUUUAAAAUGGGUCAGUGAAAAAGUAAUAACAUGAGAAUGAAAAACACUAUUAACAAUCGUAAAACAACAGUAACAAUACAAUAUCAAAACAAAAUACAUCCAAAUUUGAAUCUUGAUAAAACAAAAUUAAUCCUUUUUCUCCAUUCUUCAUCUUAAAUAAAAACUUAAAUCUUAAAAUAUAAUUUUUCUCGUAAAACCCAUUAUGCUAUCACAAUUUUUUAAGAAAAAAAUACAUAAAAAGUAAAAAUUAAAUAAAAAUCAAUACUUUAGCUAUUUAACACAAGGUAAAUGUGAUGAACUGUGUAGAUCCAAAACAAAAGAGUGAAAAAGUUGAAAUCUUUAGACAUUUCGAUAGCUAAGAAACAACCAAACGAUGAAGAGAAAGGGUUAGAGAGAGAAGAAGAAGAACCUGAAGACCAGCUCUUGUCGUUGAGGGAUGUUGUCCUUGUCCUUGUCUUUGAGCGAUGCUGUUUAUUAAACAAGAAGUGGGUUUCGGCGGCGAGUGUGUGGUUCACGGGGAGAGGCAAACGGAAAAUCUCAGAUCUGGAAUUGUGUGGUUUUUACGGGAUAGUGAAAAGAAAAAUAGUGUAAAUUUGUUUUUCCCCGCAAGUGUUUUUCUCCACUGAUGUGAUAAUUGUUAGGCAAAAUAAAAUACAAAGAUCACUAAAAUUGCGAAAACGCCACCCCGCUUUUUUCCCCCUCAUUUCAAUUAUCCACUGAAGUGAAAUGUUAUAUGUCAUUAGUAAUUCCUCUCAGGUACUUAUAUCCACCGAUGUGACUGGCAAACCAAAAUUUACUCAAAUUUCGAAAUUGCCACUGUGUGUAUCUUUCCCAUCAGGUAUUCGGUGUCCCGAUCUGAAAACGAAAAACCCCCCUGUUGUUAAAUGUCUAUUUUCUUGUAGUGUCCGCUCCACCUUGGCAACAACAAUAACAGUAUGCACCCUUACAACCAUGGGGUUGGACUCCACCUCCGUAGGCUAUGCCUCCGUGCCCGUACCCCACCUCCCAGUGGAUGAGCCCUACCGGUCCUCUAAAAUAGCCAGGUAUUCUAGGACAGCGUCCUCAAGCAUAUAUAUGCAGCUUCUACCUCAUCCUAGACACCGAGAGACAUUGAGGCAGCUAUGCAGACCAUGUCACUUCACACUCUUGAUAUUAAUCAAUGGUACAUGAAUACUGGCGCAACGUCUCACAAGGUAAUCUCUCGUCUUAUUUUUCUAUAAGUAAUUCAAAUCAUAAAGUUAUUGUUGGCAGUGGUCAUGGAAUUCCAAUUCACGGCACCAGACACACACAAAUAGCCACAUCUCAGCGACCUCUUCACAUUAACCAUGUCAUGCAUGCCCUGAAAAUUAUUAAAAAUCUAAUUUCUUUGAGACGACUCACCAUUGAUAAAAUGUUUCUGUUUACUUUAACCCUUUUGGAUUUACUGUCUUUGAUUUUCAUGCGGGGAUGACUAUUCUCAGAUGUGAUAGCCGUGGCGAUCUACAUCCAGUCACCACUCCUCCUAGUUUUGUCGGUCUCACAUCAGGUCUUUGGCAUAGUCGCCUUGGUCACCCUAGUGUGUCUAUUUUAAAUUCUCUUCGCAAAAAUAAGUUCAUAUGUUGUGAACAUUUUAAUUCUUCUGUUGUUUGUGACUCUCGUGUUUUAGGCAAACAAGUUAAAUUGUCAUUUUUUAAUUCUCAAACUACAAUAUUGAUGCCUUUUGAUAUUCUAUAUAGUGAUUUAUUGACGUCUCCAAUUUUAAGUUUUGCUGGUCAUAAAUAUUAGGGUUAAUUAAGUUUUUGGUCCCUAUAAAUAUCUGCAGUUUUAUUUUUAGUCCCUAUAAAAAUAAAUCACACUUUUUAGUCCCUAUAAAAUUUUCUGUUAGUGUUUUUAGUCGCUGUUAAAUUAAAAUUUGUUUAAUUAUGCUUAAACUUCUAAAUUUUUGAAAGAUUUUUUACAUACAUGUUUAUAACAUCAUAAGACACUCUUUUGUAAAUUUUUUAGUUUUUUAACAUGUAAUGAAUUAAAUAUGAAUUUUUCUAAAAGCUAAAUUUUCAAGAUUAUAUUAAAGAAAAUUUGGACCUAAUAAUAAAAUUUUAAGUUACUUUUUUGCAGAGAAAGUUUGUAUAAUAUUCUAAGUAAGUAUGUGAAAAAUAUGUUACAAAUUUUAAAGUUUAAGCACAAUUAAGCAAAUUUUAAUUUUACAAGGACCAAAAGUAUGUGUUGGUCCCUAUUACAUUGAAAUUUGUUUAAUUAUACUUCAAUUUUAUAUUUUUAAAUGAUUUUUAACAGACAUGUUAAGAACAUUAUAAUAAUCUCUUUUAUAAAAAAUUAGAAUUUUUUAACAUGUAAUGAAUUAAAUAUAAUUUUUUUAAGACGUAAAAAAUUCAAGAUAAAUCUAACGAAAAUUUGGGCCUAAAAAUAAAAUUUUGAGCUAAUUUAUUGUGGCGGAACCUUUUAUAAUGUUUUAAGCAAGUAUGUAAAAAAUCAUUAAAAAAUUUAAAAUUUUAAGCAUAAUUAAACAAAUUUUAAUUUAACAGGGACUAAAAGCACUAAUGGAAAAUUUUGUAGGGACUAAAAAGUGUGAUUUAUUUUUAUAGGGACUAAAAACAAAACGACAGAUAUUUAUAGGGACCAAAAACUUAAUUAACCCUAAAUAUUAUGUCUUAUUUUUAGAUGAUUUUACAAAAAUAUUGUGGACUUUUCCCAUUAACAUAAAAUUUCAUGUAUUUGAAACGUUCAAAUCACUUACUCAACUCAUUCACACUCAAUUUUUACAAAAAGUCAAUAUUGGAGCUUGACUUUCCCAUUCCUACUAUGGUAUAUUAUAACAAUGUUAGUGCCAUCUACCUAUCUGGUAAUCCUGUGCAGUAUCAGUGUACCAAACACAUUAAGAUAGACAUUCAUUUUGUUCGGGAAAAAGUAGCUCGUGGUCAGGCAUGUGUUCUACAUAUUCCCUCAAGACACCAGAUUGCAGACAUCUUCACCAAAGGGCUUCCUCGUAUUCUCUUUGAUGAUUUUCGGACCAGUCUAAGCGUUUGUGAACCUCCCGCUUCGACUGCGGGGGUGUGAUAGAACUCUCCUCCCCAAUCGCUUCUAAAGCAUUUAAUGAAAGUUUUAUGUUGAAAUUCUACUUGUGUUUUAAACAUUUCGAAUUUAUCUAAGACUUUAUCUUUUCUUUUAUAUCGUUCAACAUGGUCAUGGAUGAGAAUGUUAGCGUUCAUCUCUCCCAAAAAAAUUCAGCCAUUAAUUAGCCAUAAAUAAGUCAUAAAUCGAACCUAAAGAGUGUUUUAUAUAACUUGAUUGUUGGGAAGAGGCUGCUGCACUUAAAAUCUGAAAAUAACUUAAAAAUAAAAGUCUGGAAAUGUAAAGGAAAAAAAAAUGAAAGACAAGAAAGUAAAGAAAUGCAAGGAAAGAACAAAAGCUUAAGAAAAAAUGUAGGAAUUGAUUUCAACCUUGAGGUAAGUUUACAAGUAUAAAGAGAUGUCUUUUGCCUCAGUAAAUUUUCUGGUUUCAAGUGUUUGUAGCAGUUAUAGAGGAUACAUUAAUUUCGAGUUAUAAGGCAUAAACCAGCAAAUUUCAAGUGUUUGUAACAGUUAUUUUGGCAUGCUUAGUAAAUUUCCAAUGUUGAGAAUGUAUCUACAGAAACAUGGACAAACUGAAGCACAAGUGGUAAGACUUUUGAAUCCAAUGGGAUUAAGAUCUAAAAGAUAUCUAGUUUUAAGAUAUAAAUAUAGGAAUCCUUAUCUAAAGUACAAGAUAAAUGUAAAAACUUGUUCCAUAACCUUUCUAUAAAGAAGUGCGGUUUACUAUAGAUUAGAAAAAAUGAAUGUGAAAACUUCUUUUGAUAAACUAAUUGUCAUCCAAUUUACAUAUGCUUCUUUAGCAUCGUUGAAAUAUAUGAUGAUUUACCCUACCUGCGAUUUAAAAAUUAAUAUUUUGUCUUUUAAAGGAAACGUUUUUCAAAAAAUUACCAAAGUGUGUACUUUAGAUUAUAAAAAUGAAUGACAAAGUUCCUUUUAUGGACUGAUCAUUGUUGUUGCAUUUCCACUUGCACCACCAUCUCCAUUAAUUCAAUGUGAAAUAAAAAAAUCUUUGUUAAUCCAAAACCUAAUUGCAAAUUAACCUUCCCACAUUUGAAGCAUUAACUAUGGUGCAUUGUAGUGAAAAAGGGAAAACUCAACUUUUUCUUCUCUUCACAUACACGUCCUUGUGGUGGUGGUGGUGUACUGGUACUUCUAUCAAUGUCAGAGCAGCUGAAAAUACUGAUAGUAUGAAGCCAGGAGAUAAACUGAAUGCCAUAUCCAAGCUAUGUUCAAAACAACAUAGUUAUUGCAUGAGUUUUGACCAUGAUCCGGAUCGUGAAAACCUCACUUAUCUAAGCAUAUUUGGCGAAGGGAGAGAUACUUGGUUAGUGUGGAUUGCUAACAGAAACCAACCUGCUGACAAAAAUUCAGCAGUUCUAUCACUAGACUACUCUGGUGUGCUCAAAAUAGAAUCCAAAAUUGGUGAACCAAUAAUCCUGUAUUCUUCACCUCAACCUUUUAACAACAGUACUAUUGUUGCAACCUUGUUGGAUACAGGUAACUUUGUUUUGAAAGAUAUUCAGAAGAACAUUGUGUUGUGGCAAAGUUUUGAUCAUCCAACCGAUAGUUUGCUCCCUAGGAUGAAAUUAGGUGUAAAUCACAAAACUGGUCAAAAUUGGUCACUGUUAUCAAGAAUCAGUGAUACAAUCCAUGCUCCUGGUCCAUUCAGGCUUGAAUUGGGAACCCAACAUAAAAGAAUUGGUCAUCAAGCAUAGAGAAAAAGUUUAUUGGAGAAGUGGAAAACUGAAAAACAAUACAUUUGAGUAUAUAUCUGGAAAAGACAUUAAAGUCAACGUUGUGUCGAAUUAGAAUGAAGAGUAUUUCUCAUACACAACUCAAAAUGAAGACAGUCUUACUGUAUGGACUCUAUUAGAAACUGGGCAACUGAUAGACAGGGAAGCAAGUGAUCACAUAGGAAGGGCUGAUAUGUGUUAUGGGUAUAACACGAAUGAUGGAUGCCAAAAAUGGGGUGAUGCAGAGAUACCUACAUGCCGGAAUCCUGGUGAUAAGUUUGAUAGCAAGAUAGUUUACCCUAAUGAAAAAAUUGAAUACCAUAUUCUAAAUUCUAGCUAUGGCAUAAGUGAUUGCCAAGAUAUGUGUUGGCGUAACUGCAGCUGCUUUGGAUUCGGAAACUUAUAUAGUAAUGGAACUGGUUGUGUAAUCUUGGUAUCAACUGAAGGUCUUAACAUCGCAGGGAGUGGUGAUUACAAGUAUUACAUUCUUGUUAAGAACAACACCGAUCACAAAGGUAUGUAUAUCCCUAACUAGAAAAUACUUGAGUCAUGUAGGCUUUUGUCAAUUCCUUGAUUUUGUAUCUGUUUGCAUUAAGUAAAUAUAUAGAUACUCUUUUAAUUGUACAACUUCCAAGAUUGUUUGUUUAUAAUCCUAGAGAAACAACUUCUUAGUGCUAAUUCAUUAGGUGUUCAAUUUAUUUAUUGUAACACCACUUUAAAUAGAAGUUGUGUGAUCUGAGUAUUGACACACAUAAUUUUUCAGAAAUUAAGUUGAUAUUGAUUUGCGUUGGAAUUGGGACUUUUCUACUCAUUAUCGGUCUUUCCAUUCUGUUUCAAGCAUUAAGGAAACGAAAAUAUCUGCUUCAAGGUAAUUACAUUUUUCUUAAAAAGAAAAAAUUUAAUACUACGACAAAAAUAUCCCUUAAUAAUUCAUUUUUCACCUUUUUAUAAACAGAGAGGAAAAGAAUAAGAACACAAAUUGAGAUUCAAGAUCUAGAAGGUUCUAGGCAAUACUCUGAUGGCGAUGAUCUAGAAGGCGAUUUAAGCAAUGCAGAUGACCUAAAAGUGUUUAGCUAUUCAUCAAUACUUGUGGCUACCAAUGGCUUUUCAUCAGAAAACAAGUUAGGACAGGGUGGCUUUGGACCUGUUUUUAAGGUGACAUUUUUGUAUAGUUUUGUUGAAAUAAAAUAAGUAGACGAUUAAACAGUUAAGAUAAUGCAUUCAUCAUUUUAUUGAUGAUGCUUUUAUAUUCAAUUCAGGGAAUUCUACCUUCGGGGCAAGAAGUAGCUGUGAAGAAACUUUCAAAAACAUCUGGACAAGGAAUGAUUGAGUUUAGAAAUGAAUUAACACUCAUUUGUAAGCUUCAGCAUACAAAUCUUGUUCAACUAAUCGGUCAUUGCAUUCAUGAACGAGAGAGAAUGUUGAUCUAUGAGUAUAUGCCAAACAGAAGCUUGGACUUCUUUUUAUUUGGUGAGGUAUAUUGAUUGAUACAAUCUCUUAAGGUUGUUUAUUGAAAAUUUAAUCUGGUAUCAACUGUUUCAUAUGUUGCUACCAACUCUCCAUUCAUUUCAGCAGUAAAAACAGAUAACCGAUAUUAAGAAUAGUAAUUUGAGAACUAAAUGUUAUUAAUAUAUACAAGUAAUGUUACUUAUUUUGCCUAUCUAACAUAUUUGAUGGUUGUUUAUAUUUAUUUUAAUGCUUCUUCUCAUGGCAUUGUAUUUCUUUCUUUUUCCGUGUGAGAAGACUCCACUAGAAGAAAGUUGCUAGAUUGGAAUAAACGCUUUAGCAUAAUAGAAGGAAUUGCUCAAGGACUACUAUACCUUCACAAAUACUCAAGACUUCGAAUAAUCCACAGAGAUUUGAAGGCUAGUAAUAUUCUUCUUGAUGAAAAUAUGAACCCCAAAAUUUCUGAUUUUGGUGUGGCAAGAAUGUUUACAAAACAAGAAACUGAAGCAAAUACCAACAGAAUUGUUGGGACAUAGUGAGUUUUUCGUGUUCUCUUUUGAAUCUAAAUUCUAAUGUUAAUUGUGUAAACUGAAUCUAAUUUUUAAAUGUCGGUAAUAUUUUUUGUUUCAUACAGUGGUUACAUGUCUCCAGAGUAUGCGAUGGAAGGAGUAUUUUCUACAAAGUCGGAUGUGUACAGCUUUGGAGUGCUGCUCCUUGAAAUUAUCAAUGGUAAAAAAAACAAUAGUUUCUACUCUGAAGACAGACCACUUAAUCUAGUAGGACAUGUAUGUGAUCAUUUAUCUAUACUCAUUCUAAACAAUGCAUGCAUGUUGACUGAGUUUUGACAUAAAAAAUAAUCAUUGAUGUAAUAGGCAUGGGAGCUAUGGAAAGAAGGCGUGGUUCUUGAGUUGGUGGAUCCAUUACUAAAUGAGUCCUUUUCGGAGGAUGAGGUGCUGAGAUGUGUUCAUGCUGGUUUAUUAUGCGUAGAAGAAAAUGCAGAUGAUCGUCCCACCAUGUGCAAUGUUAUAUCAAUGUUAACAAACAAAAUUAAAGUGGAUGUUUUUGAGGAAGAUACGUAUGGUGAAGAAGUUGGUGCAGAUUCCACGUAUGAAAACCCUCAUUCACAUGUAUAAAAUAUAGAUCGACCCAGUGAAGAAAAUCUAAAUUUAUCGAAGCUUUUGCGAUACGUGUACCAAUACAUGUUGUGCUAGAAUUAAAAAAAUUUAUUUGUUUUUCCUUCUCGAGCAUGGAUCCCAUGGGACGACAUUGAAUGUAAUAGACAUAUGACUGGAUUUAUCAUGUUUAGAGGAAAUAUGGAUAUUCUAGAAUAUUUGAAUUUUGAUUAACACAAUUUAUCUUGUAUUAUUUAGACAUGCAGGUAAUAUUGACAAUGAUUUGCAAGAAGUGAAUCUGAGUAAAUUAAUAUAAUGAAUUUGAAAGAAAAAUUACUUGUUGAGAUGAUCAAAUAUAUUGUGUCUGAUUUGCCUCAUCCUAGGCUUUUCUUAACUUGUAUUUUCCUUUAAUUUUCCAUCUGAUCGCUCCUCCCCUGCAUUGUAAGACGUUCAACCCCUUGAAGAUUAGCUAUUAUACCAAUUGAAGUAAAAGAAUUGACAACAGAAGAAGGAAGUUGAAUUGAUUUUCUCUCAAUGUCAAAGCUGAAAAUAAUGAUAGUUUGAAGCAAGGAGAUAAACUGAAUGCCAUAUCCAAGCUAUGUUCUAAACAAGGUAAAUAUUGAAUGAAAUUUGAACAAUUAACUAAUUUUGAUAACCUCGCCUAUCUCAGUAUAUUUCCUAGAGGAAAUGACUGGUAUGUGUGGGUAGCUAACCGAGACCAACCUGUUCACAUGGAUUCCAAUAUUAGGGAACCAAUAAUCCUAUAUGCUUCACCUCAACUUUUGAAUAGAAGUACUAUUGUAGCCACCUUGCUGGAUACAGGUAACUUUGUGUUGAAAAUAUUCAGACGACGAAGGUAUUGUGGAAAAGUUUUGAUCAUCCUACUGAUAGUUUUAGCAAAGGCUGAUGUGUGUUAUGGCUACAACACCGAUAAAGGGUGCCAAAAGUAUGACGACAAGCCGACUUGCAGGAUGGUGAUAUAUUUGCAAGCAAAAUAGGUUAUCCUAAUAUGACAAUGUGUUAUGAUAUAAGAAAUGCUAGCUAUACCAUAACUGAUUGUCAAGAUAUGUGUAGGAGAAAUUGCAGCUGCUUUGGAUUCAAAAAUUCUCAUACCAAUGGAACUGGUUGUAUGUUCUUUCUAUCAUCAGAGAGAGGGUCAUAAUUUUGCAGCUGCAGGUGGUGAAGAAUUUUACCUCUUUCCGGAGAACAUACGAGGUAUUUAAGUUUUUAAAUCAUUUUACGAACUUGAAAGUGGAAAAAAAUAUACUUGCUAUUAGUGUUGUCUGCAACCAAAAUUGGGACCAUAUCAAAUUUUAGGCGCAAAAUUGAGCAUGUAAUUCUUUAACUUAGAGACUAUGUACAACUUUUUUCUUCUUAAACUGUUAAAAGAGUCUCACUUUGGAUAAGAGCAGGUUUGGACACGUGCUUAUAAGUGGGGGAAAUGCUCACCUCACAUUUGGACCAUAUCAAACCUCCCGUAUAUUGUCAUGUCAACUGAAAAUUCCCAUAAUUAACAGUAGUACUAUAAAUAAACAGUUUCAUAAAUUAUAGUAGUCGUAAAAAAUGUAAGUCCUUUUCUUUAGGUACCCACCUGAACUUUUUAGUCAAACUCCGCCACUUGUACUUUAUGUUUAAUGCUUAUUACAACUUUAAUUGUGUUUAUACAUUAUAGAUUAAUUUAUUGGCCCAACCACGCUUUUUUCUGGCUCUGUCAUUUCUUCAUGAGCUGGUUUGUAGGAUUGUGUUAUACCCAACCACGAUUUCUAAAAUGAACUUCUGUUUAAUUUUGUUAUAAAAGCUUACAUGUUUCAUCGUUGUCACUUUGUUGGUAAGUCUGUUACGUAUGCUUAUAAGGAGGUUUCCAUUUGAUAAGUCACUGUUUUUAAUUAAUUUUCACUAAAAAUUAGCACGAUGAUAUGAAAGACUUCUUCACGUAAUAAAUUAGGGUUCUUCAAAAUAUCCCAACAUGCAUAAUAAAGAUAAUAUAGCAAAGCACAAAAAUCCACAAAUGCACACUGCGAGUAGUAAGAUUCGAUCACAAUCAGUGUCAUCAAUUGCAGAUGGUGGAUUAUGGUGGUCAGCCAAAAAUCGGCCAUGCUAUAACAGAAACAUGGUGAAUAUAAUAGGUUUUGGUGGAAAUGGAUAAGUGUUGCAAUAGCUACUUCUCUCCUCAUAAUUUGUGUGUACAUUCUGUAUCGAGCCAAAAUGAAACGAAAAUAUCUUGAAAGUUCAAACGGAACCUCUAGUGGCAUUGAUCUAGAAGUUGGUAGCAAUGACGAUGAAUUGAAAUAGCUGUGAAAAGACAUUCAAAAUCUUCUGGACAAGGAGUUAUUGAAUUUAGAAACGAAUUAACACUCAUCUGCAAGCUCCAGCAUACAAAUCUGGUUCAGCUGCAAGGUCACUGCAUUCAUAAAGAAGAACGAAUGUUGAUCUAUGAGUAUUUGUCAAAUAAAAGCUUGGACUUCUUUUUAUUUAAUGAGAAUUUUGUAAUUUGUGAAUAUAAUAGGUUUUUCACUAAUUUGUUAAUGUUAGACAUGCAAAAAUUAUUUCAACUUUCAGUUUCAUAAUGAUUACAAAUAGAGUCUUGCUAACAAAGGCCCUAAGGGCAUUGGUUAAGGAACAAAAAAAAAUGUUUUUUUUGAAAAUACAACUCAAUUACAAAUGUCAAAGGCAUAACUACAUAAUCUUUAUCUUUAUCUUUAUUAUAUAUAUUUGCGCUAUUUUUUUUCAAAUGUACACAUAUUAAGCAAGACAAUCCUUAUUUAUUUAUUUCUUUAAUUUCUUUAAUUGUUGUUUCCAGAUUUGGGUUGUGUAGCAAGGCCAGACAAUUGUUAUUAAUCAUGUCUUUGAUGGUAAUCAUGAGUGAUGUUGCAAGUGAAUAAUGUCCAUAUAGAACGGCAAUUUGGUUAUUAUAUUUAUUUACAUAAAAAAAAACUAUACGUUAUAACAUGUUUAUAUUUUCAAUUUAGUAUAACUAUUCUUUCUUUUCUCAAUAAUUUUACAAAUUAUAUUAACCAAUUUGAUUUUAUUACAUUGUCACCUUUUAUUAUUUAAACCAAUUAUAAUAUCAUAUGUGUCGUCUCUAUCUUUAUCUUUAUAUAAUACAAAUGUCUUCUUUAAAAUUUAAAGUACACAUAGCAUGUUUAUUUACUAAACAACGUUAAUUGCUUUAAAGGAAAUUACAUACUGAUAUAAGAUUUUUUUUUUGGUGAUAUAAGAAAAUGUUUGAUUGUGCAUAAAAAACAUUGAUAAGAAAAACCUUUUUGUUUAUAUAUACAUUAGGAAUUGAUUAAUUGGACAUAAAAGUCAGUGUUCUUUUUUUUCUUCAUUUUACGCAUAUGUAAUAAAUCAGUGCCACAAAUUUUGGAUCUAUACGUAGUAGUGAGGCGAUUGAAUUUUUUUCCUAUAAAUAACUAUUCUACUUUCACCAUUUCUCACAUCAUUUUUAUAUUCAAUCAAACAAUUCUAAUUCUAUCCAAAAUUUUAGUUUUUCAGCUAAUUUCUUUGUUUUCAUUUUUUUUCCAGGUCAAGAAAUUGUUCGCAUUUGAUUUUUUUCAUGAUGUAUUAAAUUGCAAGCUUUCAUUCUCACUAGACAUGGUGAUGAUGGAUGCAUCUUUACGUGUGUAUUUUGUAAUAAUUUUUUAUAUUCUGAUUUUUAUUAUUUUAUUUAUUUUUUAAUUAUCAAUUAUAUAUAUAAUUUUUAAUUGAUAUAUUUUAGAUCGGUAAGUAUGCAUAAAUUUUCAAACAUUAUGUUUAAUUUGUAUAUUUAGACAUUAUGGGUUGAUUAAUCAUUGAUUUCAUUUCAUUUUCAUAUAUUAAUGAUUGAAAUUUAUAGAUAUUAUUUUUUAUAUAAUUUGAUAGGUUUUUUUAAAGGGUAUAAUUUGUUAGGUUUGUAAAAUGAUAAAUUAUAAAAUUGGAAAAACAACUCUAAUAUAAAAUGGUGAAUAAUGAAAAUUGAAAAAGACAACUCUAAAUGCCAAGUUAUUUUGCUUAUUAUAUAUCAUAUCUUUAUAACAAAAGCCCCCAACACCAAGCUAAUAUUUUGACCCUAAAUCUAUUUUCUCUUUAUACCCAUUCCUUCUCAUCUCUACCUUCUUAAGGCUUUUUAUUUUGAAUAUGUUCUUCAAAUUUUCUUAGGGAAAAGAUUGGUAAACACCCUUUAAAGGGUGUACCUCCCCCAUACACUCUAACAAGGCAAAAAACUAUUGAAAAAUAAUAAAACAAAAGAAAAAAAAAAUUGAUCUUAUCUUGGAGAAAGAAGAAGGCUCCAAACAUUAAAAAACACAACUUCCCUUCCCCCACAUUCUCUCUCUUCCGCUCCAAUUCCAGUUCCCCCUCCCUCUCAACCCUCACGCUCUCUUCUCCAUCAUUUCUUUCUUUCUCUUCAUCCCACCUCUACUGGCGUCCAACCCUAUUCCGACCACCCUCUCUCUCCACCGUCUCUGUUUUUCAUGUCAUUGUUGUCCCCUCUAAAACACCUUUUGAAUUCAAGUAACAAAACGAUUAAAAAGAUGUAUCGGGAGUCAAUUGCUAUGGCUGCCACCGCCGCCGCCACGACGCGAUGGAUGACUCUGCCAACUCAGUGGACUCGAGACCAUGACAAGCUUUUUGAGCGAGCUCUGUUGAUGGUGCCGGAGGAUUUUCCGGUGAGAUUCCCGAUCUCGUAGUCUUGGUCGACGAUGAAGGUGGCUGAAGGUGAGGUUGUCGCCCCCGCGGUCAUCAUUUAAAAAGAAUGGUGAGAGCUCCGCCGCCGUCGCCUAAAAAAGAGUGGUGAGAGAAAUACAAAAACGACAAAGAGAGAAGGAAAUAGAGAAGAUUAAUGUUGAGGACGGCGGAGAGGAGGAAGGAGCGGCGGACGGUAUUGGUGGAAGAGAGAGGGGCGGUGAGUAGGAGAGGAAGAGAAAACGUGAUUUUAUUGAACUGUUUUUUUUUUUACACAGUUUGUGUGUUUUGACAAAACUGCCCUCAAUUAAGUGUUGAAAUAACAAAAUUACCAUGCCAGCUAGAGGGUGUAUAAGGUGGUUUGCUAGCUAUGGAUGUUCACCUAUCAUGACUCUUUUCUUAUACCCAUUUCUUUGAUGUAUAACCAUCAUAUAUUUAAAGAAUAUAUCAAUGUUAAAAAUAGUAUUUUUUCCAUCAUUGGAAAAUUAGGAGGUGUUUCCAGCUUAAAUGUCACCAUAUUUUGAUAGCAUAUAAAUAUUAUUCAUAAAGUUUGUGGUUUGAUGAACCCUCAACCAUCAAGAUUAAAUUAUGAAAAAAAGGUGCAAGUGAGAUGGACUUUGUCAUGUGUCAUCAUAUUAUUUAUAAAAAAAGGUGCAAGUGAGAUGAAUCCUCAAAUACAUCAAAUUCUUUUUUGUUUUAGAAUUUGAGAUGGACUUUGUCAUGUGUCAUCAUAUUAUUUAUAACUUUCAAGUGAAACUUCAAUUCUCAGAUGUGGGGAGAUAACCUUCUUGCAAAUAUAUAAAAAAAAAUUGAAGAGUUCAAGAUAAACUUUGCUUCCAAUUUGGAAGUAUGGUUAGUGAAUAGGCAUGCCCAUGCUGAAGAAUUUAGGUUUUGUAAAACUAGAAAAGAGAAGGACGGUGUGAUCACAUGCUUCACUUUACUCUCUUUUUUAUCAUAUGAAAUAUAUUAUGGGCCAUUUUAUACAUAAGAUUUCACUGUUAGGAUUUGGCUUAAGCCUUAUGACUUAUACCUGGUUCCAACAGAUCAUGACUCAUAAAUAAUUAUUUUUCUUUGUAGUGAUAAUACAUAAAUGAGAAAUAAGUUGUUUUCUAAUAUGUCUUACUUUGAUAAUUAAUAAUUUUUUGGUAUUAACUUUUUGGUUCUAUGAGGAAAGUAUAGUCUGACCAACAAUUGUUUUACUCAUCGAUUUAACUUUAUAUUUGAGCAACGACGGUUGAUUUAGCCCAAAAAAAAAUACAUUGUAGUUUAUUAUAACGUAAUUUACUGUAUUCAAAUUUAUAGUACAAUUGUCUUAUCAUAUCUAUAUUAUAUAAAUUUGAGACCAUUUUCUCAAGUCCCUAUAUGGAAAUGAUUUUCUAUUCUUUUGGUGUUGACAUGUAUCCCUUUAUUUUUACAAAUACUAUUACAAUAUUCACCCUCACAAAAUGCUCUGACCACAAUCAUCCUCAUAAAUUUGUAUUUAAUGUUCAUGUUUAUGUAUAAGAAGAAGUUUUUCAAAUUCAAUUCUAAUUCUAAUAUUUCAAAUCAAAUUUAAAAUGCUUCUACUAUUAUUUUUGAAGAUAUUUUCGGUUACAAUUUGUUUGACUGAUUUAAAUAUAUUAAUGCUAAAUUUCGGUUACUAUUUGUUUAUACCAUAUAUGUUUACUAUCUACAUUAUUAGUUUGGAAGAAUUUAAAUAGCUUUUAGUAUUAGUUAAUUGGACAAGAUUUAAAUAGCUUAUAGUAUUAGGAAAUAAUAUCAUGGUUAAUUGGAGAAGAUAUUACUUCCUUAUGAUGUAUAUCUUUUUUAUUUGACCCAAAAAAACAAGUUUUUGGAAUUUAAUAGGAUUGAAUAGUAUAUUGGCCGAAAAAAACGUUAGACCACUAGAUUUUUUUUAUCGGCCACAAAGCUAUUUGUAUCAUUUACCAAAACAAAACAAAAAAAUACUAUUAUAUUUUGCUUAAUAGCUAAGACAUGAGGUAGAAUUUGAUUGUUUUACAUAAUUGUCCUAAAAAAUUCAUUAUAAAUUAGAUCCAUUGGCCAACACUUUAUUCACACCACAACUUUAUUUCGUUUCUUUUUCUUUGCAUCAAUUCCGUGUCUCUCUAUUAAAUCAAAAUGGCCCCAAAGAUUGACUUGAUCUCUGGUAUAUCCCCUUCCAAAGAAAGCUGGAAUAUCAGGGUUCGACGUUCGCCUUCAUAUAUGUUGACUAUAAAUUUCUUUCUAAUUUUAAUCAUAAUUUUUUUUUGAAAAUUAUUGUAUCAUUUUAUUUUCAAUUACAACAUCCAUAAAUUAAGGGAAUAAUUUUUUUGAUUGCUUGAUACAUGUUGACUAUAAUUAUUGUGUUUGAGACUCACAAUUAUCACAUAUUUUAAGUGUAACUAACAAAUUUUACAUCUUUUUGCUAUAAAUUGUGCUUUUUAGUUUCAAGAUUUUCACAUAAUUUCAAGAUUCAUGAUAAAAUUUUGAAAAACUUCCCAGUAUUACUCUUUCAUUUUAUUCAUUUUUUCUUCUAAUUCACUUUUUUUUUUUCAUAGAUCUAAUUCUUAAAAAUGGUUCGAUUUUUGAUAUUUUUUCAAUUGAAAAAACAGUUAAACGAACAAUUCUCUCUAUUUUUCCUACGUUCAAUUUAUCUUGAUCUUUAUUCACCUGAUCUUUAAUUGUUUUAGAAGUGGAUCUCAAACGACGAAUCUGAUGAAAGAAUCAACAUACAGUGUGAACUCAGAAGAAAUUGGAUUAAACACUUUGAUUAGAAUGAAUGAGUUUUAUUAGUUUUAAAGUGAUGAUUAUUCUUUUGCACAACUAUUCAUGUAAUUAGUUUUAGAUAUACAAUUUGUGUUGUAAAUGAUAUUUCACAUUCCAAAAUAGUGGUGUUUCUAUAGAUUAAUGAUUAUGUUGUACUUUCAACUUUGAUGUGCAUCUACAAAAAUAUGUUGUAAGAAUUAUCAUAUAAGAUUCUAAUAUUGAUAAGAUCUUAUUGAAUAUUAUAGAAAUUUGGUUAUGGGUGUGAAUGAAAAAUUUGAGUUGGACAUCCAUUAUUAUUGAUUUAUUUCUUCUAUGAUCGAUGUAUUUUAUCUUUGUGUUUUUUUCUUCCUAUUGUCUUCAUUCUUUCUAACACAUUGAUGUUGCUUUUUUCUUUGCAUAAAUCCAAUAUACAAAACGAAUAUUGGUCUAUACAAAUAGUUGUUUGAUGAGAUAUUAACAAACUUUUUUUUUUUUUUUUAUGCAACGAUCAUUUCAUUAGAUUAAAAGAAGAAAAAAGAGUACAAGAAAGAAAAGGGGGACUAAAGCCAAAACCUUUUCAAAAGGUGGUGAAUCUAAAGUUGGGCAUACCCAACCUAUUCCUAGUGUACUCUCCUCUAAUGAAAUCAGGAAUAACAUCAGACCAAAAAACAUCAUCAGUAUUUAAAGAUAAGCCAAGGUUAGCUAAGCUGUCUGCACAGGCAUUUCCUUCCCUAUAGAUGUCAGAUACAAUAAAUCUCAUGUAUCUUAACCUAUAUAAACAGUUAUGCCAUCUAUUUUGCAGGAUCCAAGGAACUACUGAGGAAGAUUUGAAUGCCAAGAUAACCAGUUGUGAAUCAGUUUCCAGCCAAAGAUUAGUAUAACCAUUGUUGUAUGCAAUCUCAAUUGCAGUCAUUGCAGCAACUAUCUCUGCGAAUAAGGCAUUUUGCGCUCCCAGGAAUUGAGAGAAACAACCAAUAUAUUUACUAUCAGCGUCUCUAAAGAUGCCUCCUGCCGCUGCUCUAGAUGGAUUCUUUGUGGCUGCACCGUCAGUGUUUGCUUUAAUCCAAGAGGAUAAUGGAGGAGACCAGAUAACCUCCUUAAUGAUGGGUGAUCUAGGAGGCUUGAUAUUAACUUUGAGAGCUUUGAGAAUCCUGAACUCCUGCAUAUCUCCUCUAUAAACUUCUUUAGUGUUGUUCCCGGCGAAAGCAGUUUGUGCUAUAAUCAAAUUAAUGGCAGGCUUCCAAUGCAUAUGUUUAUCUCUGAAUCUGACAUGAUUCCUUCUAAUCCAAAUGGUGUACAUAAUAUUUAUCAUGCAUGCUUUAAUCACCAGUUUCCAUUGACCAUUCACAAUGAAUUCGCUAACUUUUGCAGAUAAAUUUGGAUACAAAUGUGAAGGUAUGUUUAGGUGGGAAGCUAUUGGUUGACCACACCAAUUAUCCAGCCAAAAAUUAAUGUCGCUUCCAUCUCCCAACUGCCAUCCACAGUUCGAGGUGAUUGUGUUGAACUCCAUCUUUAUGCUACUCCAGAUGGAAGAGAAAAUAUGGUGAGAAAUUACUCUUCUCCCUCUGAGCACUUUACUUCUGAUCAAGAUUGCCCAAUCUUCUUUAGAGUUUAACAUGUCCCAACAAAGCUUUAAAUUUGUUGAUUCAUUUAUAAGAGUGAGAGAUCUUAUUCCAAGACCGCCUUCAGUCAGAGGUUUACAAGUCUUUUUCCAUGAUACCGACACUAGCUUCCUCUUGGUGAUAUCUCCACUCCAUAUGAAAUUCCUUGUCCAAGAUUCAAUCUCUUUCAAUAACUUCUUUGGCCAUGAAUAAAUGGAUAUUGAGUGAAUCAGCAUACCAUGGACUGUGCUUUUAACAAGAGUUACUCUUCCUGCAAUGCUCAGUGUUAUCAUGGUUUUUGGGUGCCAAGCCAUUAAUUGGACUUGAACCUUUUGACCGUUGAUAUCUCUCUUUUUUCUUGGGAAGGGUAAAAGGAGAAAAACCCUUAAAAAGUUCUAGAUUCGGGGGUCGUUUUCACUACGGGAAGGUGUUAGGCACCCGGAGCGAUUAUGGUAUUCCAUAAGAACCGUUCUCCUAAGUUUAUUUCUACGCUUUAGUUUUAUUGCUUAUUUGUAAAAAAGGAAUGUAUGAUUAGUGAAGAAUGGGGGUGAGAAGAAGUAGAAUUUGAUUUUAUUUCGGCUUGGAUGAGUUUUGACUCAUUGCCUACGUACCCUUUUAAGGGAUCAAAACCGUUCGUAGUUCUUGCUAAAAAACUUGUUUUUUGUUUUAAUUGUUUGAUUUUAAGUUUUGAAAAAAAGGUUUUGAAGAAGGAGAUUGGGAGGCUUCAUGAGCAUUAGAUUUAGCAAAAAAGUGAGGUUUGAUUAGUGAUUAGAAAGAAAGUCUAAAUGGUUAAGAUGAAUUGAAUUUUUCUUAAGAAAAAAGAAAGGAAAAAAAAAUGAAGUGUUGACUUCAUACUUAUUAUGAAAAUUUUUGAAGUGAAGUUCAAUUGUUUUUUUUGAAAAAAAGAUGGAUUUUCUCUAAGUGUUUGAAACCUAAGCGCUUAUCUAACCACACAAUCCUAUGCAUACAUCUAAGGUGAGUGUGUGCGUGUCGGUGCGCCAUAGUGUCCAUAGUCCAUAUUACAACAUCUCCUAAAUACAUUCUAUGGCCUCUUUGCCAAGCUACAAACCAAUGGUAAAAUAUUACAUCACCGAACGAAUUACAAUUUGUAAAAGAGAAAACUAAACUAAAGAAGACAAUAGUGAAGAUAAUGAAGUGCUAUGAAGUGAUCAACAUGAAAGGAAAUGUUAGUAGAAAAUGGUAAAAGAAGAAUAUGGCAUAAAGUGAUAGAAGAAAGUAUGGCAUAAGACGGUAGAGUGACGAUGAAAAUAAGCCGGAAACGUGUGAUGAAUAAUGCGUAUGAUGCAAGAAUAAAACCCAGCACAUCAAAACAGUGACAUAUGCAUAGCAAACAGUAGCAAAAUUCAUAUGAAAUAGUAUGCAAAUCAAACAUGACGAAUACGAACAUUAUGCACACGAGGUAACGGGUAAAAAUGCGAGAAAAGUGACUUAAAAUAGUAAAAAAACCCUUGACAAAUCAACACCAAAAUUUUACCAACUUUUCCAAGUAAAAUACCACUGAACAUUAUCAAGAAAAAAAAGUAAAAUGACAUGGUAAUUUUCUUGGAAUUUAUUGGUGAAAAUUAGCAUGAACAAAGGGUGCAAACAGCAGGCAGUUAUGGUGCAAGUAGCAAAGAGAAAGAGCAAAAAAACGUAAAAAAAUUUCCAGCCCAAACCAAAAUCCAAUACAGACUGGGCCUGGAUCAUCCAAAGGCUUCAGAGGCGUUGGAUUGAUCCAGAUUCAGAUCUGACGGUUUAGAACACACAGCGCAUGGCAACGUAAAUCAAGCAUAUGGUAACAAUGCAUCACAACCGUUCAAAGGAGAAAACCCUAGAUCCUACGGUUCAAAAUGAAAAUGAAAUAAACCGGACCGGUUCACGCGUCUAUAUAAGGACAUGGAUACCGGUCCAGUCCAUUUCUUUCAUUUCCUUCUCUCUCUAAGUUUCCCUCUCCUCUCACUUCUCUCUAACCUCGCCGCCGGCGAGGAUGAAGCUACGGCGGAGACCUUGAAGGUCCGCCGGAAACUUCAUCUUCUCCGGCGAGUUCAUGAACUCCGGUGACCUAAAAUUUCCAGAAUUUCAAAAUUUCUUCAUCAAUCAAUUCGUCCUUUAACCCUAAACACGAAUCCAGCAGUUGUUUUUUCAAAUUCAAUUCGAAACGAUGUAGAUCUGGAAAUUUGCCGUACGGCUUUGAAUUUGAUUUUGAUUUUUCGAAAGAAAACGUUUAGAUCCUGGAAGAUCUACAUCAUUUCGUUGUUUAACACCUCUUUGAUGUUUGUUUUUGCUUUCAAAACUUAGAUCCUUAUGGAUCUAGGUUUUGUGUUUACGGUUACGGCUUUGGUUUUGAAUUCUGGAAAUUUUGGAUCUGUUUUGCUUGCGUGAUUUUUAGGUUUAACAGUGAUAUUAUUUCUGAGAAAAGUUUAUGAGUUUUACCUAAGGUUUUGGUUGAAACCUUUAAUGGAGGAAAUCUUUGGAAAUCUUGAUUCUGUUCUUGAUGAUUUUGAUUCUGUUUGCUUCACCGGUCCAGAUUCUUCAUCUUCUCUGACUCUUUCUCUGCUUCUCUGUGAUUACGUGCUUGAGCUUGCUUCAAUGUUUCUCAGAUUCACGCGAGGAAACCCUGUGAUCAGUGCUUGAGCUUGCUUCAAUGUGAGCUCGCACUUGGAAUUGCAGGAAAAUCUUCAAUCCGGUGAUGAAGAUUCACACGAAUCUCUGAGGAUUGAUGCAAAAAUGUUGAUUCUGAUGGAAAAUUAGGGUUUCUGGAGAACGGUUAGGGUUUUUUGUUCUUGGUGUUCUUGAUGAAUCUGAGAAAUUUUUCUGUUUUGAUUCAGUUACUAAGAAAAAGAAAAUUGAAUCUGUGUUUAUGAGUUGGCGUGUGAUCCAUGGCUUUGAAUCUGACUCACUGUUUAUAUAGUUGACAUGUGUACUUGAGAUCCAAUAAAAAGGUGACACCUGGAAUUGUAUGAGAGUGGCACGGCUUGGACAAAAAAAGAAAUUUGGACCUUUCUGCAAAAAAUAAAACUUCAAGGACUAAACUGCAAAUAAUCCAAAAAGGACUGAAACGUAAAAAAAGAAAAUUCUGGACUAAAAAUGCAAUUUUGGGACCUCAAUUGAGGGACCAAAAUGCAAUUAAAAAUGAAAUUGAAUAAAAAACGUAAUUUGACCAAACGUAAAGCGAAACAAAAAUAAAAUUGACAAAACGGACUAAAACGAACCAAUUGACCUAAAUGAGGUACUUCAAAGUAACCUCUCUACGCCAAAAUUUCGUGUGAAAUGACCAAAAUGCCCCUAGGGCUAAAAUUGACCAAAACAGAUUCAAAUUGACUCGACACUGACUCAGACGCAAGUUUGAAACGAAAUUAACAAAGUUUACUGAUGAAAUGUAAAAAAAACAAAUUGAAAAGACUCAGAGACAGUCACAAGGAUGAAAAUGGGUCCCACUGCAGGAAAUGACCAAAAUACCCUUCUGUAUGACUUUUUUGCAAAUUUUGAAAUAAACUGUAGAAAAAGCAAUGCACUGAUUCAGAGACACUUUUGAAUGACUUAUAAGACAAGUAAAGACACUUCAAAAGGUUUUAUGCAAGAAAAACAUAGGUGAAAUUGUGAUUGAAAAUACUGCGAGGCAGAGACAAUUUGAACUGUGCAGUUGAAAUUUGAUAAUUGACAAAGUUUGAAAUGAAAUUGGGCCCAGUAUUUUUAGGUCCAAAAACAUGGUAUAACAGCUGCCCCUAUUUAAGUUUCUUUGUCUGGAGGGUCAAGAGACGGAGUCUUUGGCUUGACAGGACGAAGAUACUUAAAUAUUAGCAUUUGCACUGUGUUUGGACGUAAAAAUACGCCUACCCAUUUUCAAAUAAUAUGCAUGCCAUGCAUCAUUUGGAUUAUGAAUGCAAGACCUCAUGGGGAUUGGAAUUAACAAAAUAUGUCGUAUCCAUUGCGGGAUUGGUAGACAUUGACAAAGAUAGUGAAUAGCAGAGUAACGGGAAACUAGAAACAAGUUGGAUAGGUACAAGCUGUUCUUGGAUUCGAACUAGCCACUUGACCGGGAAUGAAACAAACAGACAACUGCGAGUUGUUCUUAUGGAUUCGAACUGGUCACUCACUUGGGGAUAGAGGUUACUGGACAAACAUGAGUUGUUCUUAUGGAUUCGAACUGGUAACUCACUUGGGGAUAUUGGAAAGUGCGAGUUGUUCUUACGGAUUCGAACUGGUGACUCGACUGAAAACAUGUAAAAUUGGCAGGUACGAGUUGUUCUUAAGGAUUCGAACUGGUUACUCGACUGAAGACAAAUACAAAAUGGACAGGCGCAAGCUGCUCUUGGAUCGAGCUAGCCACUUGAGCGAACAGAAACAGAUAGACGGGUACAAGCUGCUCUUGGAUUGAGCUAGUCACUUGACUGAAUGGAAACAUAUUGACAGGUACAAGCUGCUCUUGGAUUGAGCUGGGCACUUGACCGAUAACAUAAGCAAAUUGAUAGGUACAAGCUGUCCUUGGACUUGAACUAGCCACUUGACCGAACAGAAACAUAUUCACUGGGGAUUAGUUUGUUUGACAAAAUAUAGAUUGAGAUUGACUUGACGUCGAUUUGAUUUGAAAGGUAGAAAUUGAGACUGAUGUUGACAUUGGAAAUGCGAUAUGCAUGGAUGAUAUAACAGUUUCAUUAAAUGCAUGGGUACGCAAUAUGCAUGAUUAUGCAUGUAUGAAUGCUUGUAAUGCAUGACUGUUGGCAGUUUGUAAGCACAACUUCACGGGGAAGACAAGACAUUAGAGUAUUGGGCACGUAGUGGCUCGUGCUAUAUUACACAUUCUUGGAAAUCCUCUUUGGAGAUGACGUCGUUGGGAGACGUGUCGGAACCACAGCUGAGGGCAGGUAACUAAACAACUUGCUUGGGGAUAGAAUCUUGAGAGACUCCACCGGGGAAAACGCCGUUGUGCUGGGCAUGUCGUAGAUAUUGCAUCUGUGGUCAAUGCUUUUUGCAUGUUAUUUUCUCAAUUUUCAAUCAUCAUUUUUUUUUUGCAUCCCAUUUUGCCUGGAUCGUCCUUUCGGGUUUUCGAUCCACCGAGGAAAUAAAUUCUUUUCAAUGCCCCAUUUUUGCCUGAACUGCCCUUUCGGGUUGUCAAUCCAGCGGGGUGCUCAUUUUUGCCUAAGCCGCCCUUCCGGGUUUUCAACUUAGCGAGCCUUUUCAUUUUCAUGCAUUUUCAUUCUGUUUUUUCAUUCUUGCCAUUGACCACAGAUUAUCUUGGAGGAGAACCUGCUUGUAACAUAUAUUGAAACAGACAUCGACAUACUCUCGCUUAUGCAUGUUUCGUUUGAAUGUACCCUGUUGCUCAGGUUUGCUUUUCAAAAUAGACAAAAGGUUUUCAAUUUUCAAAAUGUUUGUUUCAAGCAUUGUCAUUAUCAAAAUAGAAGGAAAAUGAUUUGUAUAUAGCUUUGAAAAUAGAGUUUUAAACAAAAGCACAGGCUCAAUUUGAUGUAUAAGAGUGGUGGUCAGCCGAAGGCGUGACUCCACGGAUUCACAAAGCUUGGAAAAUGGUAAUUUUAUUGGUUGGUGGUACAUUGAACACAGUAAUCAUUACAUUUCCCAAAAGACUUUGAAUUCACAAGUACAGAAACUUCAGAUGAAGAUGGUCAUUAACAGCUGCAGAUGCCCCAAGGGAGACGGUGGUUGACUAGAUAUAGUUACUUGCCUUGUGUUUCAAUCUCAUUUUUGCAUGAACCGCCCUUCCGGGUUUUCGGCUCAUCGAGACGCUCAUUCUUGCCUGAGUUGCGUACAAUCUCAGCGAGCUUUUUCAUAUUUGUUUUUUGUCCCUUAUUUUUGCCUGGACCGCCCUUUCGGGUUUUCGAUCCACCGGGAAGCGCAUUUUUGCCUAGGCCGCCCUUUCGGGUUUUCGACCUACCACGCUGUUCUUUUCACAUUUCUAGGCAAAGUAUUUCUUGACUAUAUCGGCAUUCACUGGAUUUGGAAGUUCUACACCAUCCAUGUGUGUAAGAAUUAAAGCACCGCCGGAGAAGGCCUUCUUGACAACAUAAGGACCUUCAUAGUUAGGCGUCCACUUGCCCCUUGGGUCGGGUUGCUGGCCUAUCCUCCUUUUCAAUACAAGUUCCCCUACCUUGAAUUCUCGAGGAUGGACUUUCUUGUCAAAAGCAGUCUUCAUUCUUGCUUGAUAUGACUGUCCACGAGCCAUGGCAUCCAUACGUUUUUCCUCAAUCAAAUUCAACUGAUCGUACCGGCUUUGGCACCAUUCAGCCUCAGAUAACCUUGCUUCCAUGAUCACACGGAGAGACGGGAUCUCCACUUCCAAAGGAAGAACUGCUUCCAUACCAUAUACAAGAGAGAAAGGGGUUGCCCCGGUUGAACUGCGCACGGUAGUACGGUAGCAAUGCAGAGCAUAGGGUAACAUUUCAUGCCAGUCCUUGUAAGUGGUUACCAUCUUCUGGACAAUUCUCUUGAUAUUCUUGUUGGCGGCCUCAACUGCACCAUUCAUCUGAGGUCUAUAGGGAGAAGAGUUAUGAUGCUCAAUUUUGAAUUCUUCACAAAGAGCUUGCACCACAUUGUUGUUCAGGUUGGUACCAUUGUCGGUAAUAAUCUUGCUGGGAACACCGUACCGGCAUAUGAUGUUGUUCUUGAUAAACUUAGCUACCACUUGCUUGGUCACAUUGGUAUAAGAUGCUGCUUCAACCCACUUGGUGAAGUAGUCAAUUGCCACUAAGAUGAAACGAUGACCAUUUGAAGCCUUCGGUUCAAUUCUUCCGAUCAUGUCGAUGCCCCACAUUGAGAACGGCCAUGGGGAUGACAUAACAUUGAGAGCGUGCGGAGGCACAUGAAUCUUAUCAGCAUAGAUUUGACAUUUGUGGCAUUUCCUGGCGUAUUGGUAGCAAUCAUGCUCCAUGGCCAUCCAGUAGUAACCUGCUCGUAACAACUUCCUUGACAUAGUAUGCCCUGUAGCAUGGGUCCCGAAGGUACCGUCAUGUACAUCAUGCAUUAACUGCUCUGCUUCAUGUUCAUCAACACAUCUUAACAAUACCAUGUCAUAGUUCCUCUUGUACAGAAUAUCUCCAUCUAACAGGAAUCUACCGGCCAAUCUCCUCAGGGUCUUCUUAUCUUGUUUGGAAGCACCUGGCGGAUAUUCGCGGCUUAGCAAGAACUGCUUGAUGUCAUAGUACCAGGGUCUAUAGUCAACCACAUUUUCACCAGCCUGAUCGAUCACAUCCCCAAUAGCAAACACAUGCGAAGGUCUUUCAAGGCGUUGCACUUUGAUUAAUGGCACAUCAUUCCAAUGGUUCACUCGAAACAUGGAAGAUAGAGUAGCAAGAGCAUCAGCCAUUUGGUUCUCAUCACGAGGAAUAUGGUGCAGCUCAACCUUUGUAAAAUAUGUCAGAAGACGUCUCGCAUAAUCACGAUAAGGAAUCAACUUAGCAUGGUGGGUCUCCCAUUCACCCUUUAUCUGAUUGAUGACGAGCGCAGAAUCUCCAUAGAUGUCGAGGUGUUUGAUUCUCAUGUCAAUGGCUUCCUCGAUCCCGAAGAUACAUGCUUCAUACUCAGCCAUAUUGUUGGUACAUUCGAACAGGAUUCUGGCGGUAAAAGGAAUGUGAUGCCCCUGUGGGGAUACAAUGACCGCCCCAAUUCCUUUACCAUAAGCAUUGACAGCACCAUCAAAGACUAAACCCCACUUGCUAUUGGGAUCUGGACCUUCAUUAAUUAACGGUUCGUCGCAGUCUUUGGAUUUCAAAUACAUGAUCUCUUCAUCGGGGAAGUCGAACUCAAUUGGUUGAUAAUCAUCAAGAGGUUGGUAAGCAAGAUGAUCGGCAAGAAUGCUACCUUUGAUUGCCUUUUGAGUUUUGAACACAAUAUCAUAUUCAGACAAAAGCAUCUGCCAGCGUGCAAUCUUUCCAGUAACAGCAGCUUUCUCAAAGAUAUACUUGAUCGGAUCCAUUCUGGAUAUCAACCAAGUUGUAUGAUUCACCAAAUAAUGACGCAGGCGUUUGGCAGCCCAAGCUAAAGCACAACAAGUCUUCUCAAGCAUUGUGUACCGAGUUUCACAAUCGGUGAACUUCUUGCUUAGAUAGUAGAUAGCAUGCUCUUUCUUCCCAGUUUCAUCUUGUUGACCAAGUACACAUCCCAUGGAUUCAUCAAACACUGCCAAAUACAUAAUCAAAGGCCUUCCUUCCACGGGUGGGACAAGGAUAGGUGGUUCCAGCAGAUAAUUCUUGAUGCUAUCAAAAGCUUCUUGGCAUUCAUCAUUCCAUACAAUAGGCUGAUUCUUCCUGAGUAGCUUGAAGAUCGGCCCGCAAGUUGCGGUCAUGUGAGAUAUGAAUCGGGAGAUGUAAUUCAAACGUCCGAGGAAGCCUCUGACUUGCUUCUCUGUCCGUGGAGCUGGCAUUUCUCGGAUGGCCCGGACUUUAUCAGGAUCGACUUCAAUGCCCUUUUGGCUGACAAUGAAGCCUAAUAACUUCCCGGAUCUGACGCCGAAUGUACAUUUGUUAGGAUUCAAUCGAAGCUUGUAUUUUCUCAACCUUUCAAACAUCUUUGUUAAAUAUUCAACAUGCUGCUCCUCAUCUGUUGACUUCACAAUCAUGUCGUCCACAUAUACUUCGACUUCUUUGUGAAUCAUGUCAUGAAACAGAGUAGUCAUUCCCCUUUGGUAGGUAGCACCAGCAUUGAUUAGGCCGAACGGCAUCACUUUGUAGCAGAAAGUACCCCAUGGAGUGAUAAAAGACGUCUUUUCUCUAUCCUCAGGAGACAUUUUGAUCUGAUUAUAACCGGAGAAACCGUCCAUGAAGGAAAACACCUUAGACUGAGCAGUAUUGUCAACAAGCACAUCGAUAUGAGGUAACGGAAAGUUGUCUUUUGGACUGGCUUUGUUCAAGUCCCUGAAGUCAACACACAUUCGGACUUUACCAUCCUUCUUUGGCACUGGUACAAUAUUGGCAACCCAUUCAGGGUACUCAACUGUCAUGAGGAAACCCGCAUCAAUUUGCUUUUGAACCUCGCUCUUGAUCUUGAGAGCCAUAUCAGGAUGAGUCCUUCUCAAUUUCUGCCUGACGGGAGGACAUUCAGGCUUGGUAGGGAUCCGAUGCUCCACAAUCGUAGGGUCUAGACCUGGCAUAUCUUCAUAGGACCAUGCAAAAAUAUCCGGAUAUUCCCGGAGGAGCUGGAUGAUCUUACUUUUAACCUCUUCCCCUAGAGCAGCACCGAUCUUGAUUUCUCGCUUGUUUUCCUCGGUACCUAUGUUGAUAAGCUCAAUCUCUUCCUGGUGAGGCUGAAUGGCUUUCUUUUCUUGCUCAAGUAACCGAGUAAUCUCAUAUGGUAUACCAUCACCUUCCUCAUCUUCGGCUUCAUACACAGGGAAAUCAAAGUUUGGAAGAGGCAUAGAAUUACUGUGUUCAACGGGUUUAUUAUGGUUCAACCUGCAUAUAAUGAUUGGAUGAUUUUAGAAAGAGUUUUUUUUCAUGCAGAUUUUUGAAAUUAAUAAGAAAAUACAAACGUUUUGGUUUUUUCUGGCAUUACCAUUUUUCCAAGAAAAAGGCACUAAAAAAAAGCAGUCGUGAAAGAAACGACAAUUUUUAUUCAUCAAACGGCAAUGCCGAAACAAACACGCCCUUACAGAAAAUAUCACUCUCGCUUUGGGCAGAGCGAGAGGAUUGUUAUUUUUGAAAACAAAGCGCUAAAGCAACAAGACGCAUUACUCGGAAACAUGCAUGAUUGAAGGAAUGUCAAUGGCGUCCAAAUCACUCGCAAUGCCUCCUGGUGUAACAAAUGCAGGCCUGAGACCAGAUCCAGUUGCUUCUUCAGAGAUAGGAUUAACAAACCCAGCACUGUGGAAGACUCCUGAGGAAACCCUUGAUGACGGGGAGAACCCGAGACCUUCUUUACGCUUGUUCUCACAGAGCUGUAUCACCUUGCCCCAACCGGCAGUCUGACCUUCCUGGAUAACCUUCUGAGCAUCUUUCAAUGAAGCCAUAGCAGCCCCAGCUUUCUUAAGCUCCGCACCUUCAAUGGUCAAACCUUGGAAAGCAGUCCCUUCAGCAGACCCUGCUUCAAUACAAGAAAAGGAAGAUAGCUGGCUGACUAAGUAUGCCUCUUCACCAUGGAUUGUAACGAGUUUUCCAUUCUUCACAAAUUUCAACUUCUGAUGUAAGGUGGAAGUAACCGCACCCGCAUCGUGUAUCCACGGUCUUCCCAGCAGACAACUGUAGGAUGCAUUAAUGUCCAUUAUUUGGAAAGUAAUCAGGAAAUUCUCAGGGCCAAUGGUUAUCGGCAAGUCUAUCUCCCCCAGCACAUUCUUUCGAGACCCGUCAAAAGCUUUGACCAAGAAAGUACUCCUCCUUAAAGGGGUCCCACGGUAGCUCAACUGAUCUAGAGUUGUCUUGGGCAUUACAUUGAGUGAGGAACCUGUAUCCACCAACACAUUCGAUAUCAUGUCUGAUUUGCAAUUCACCGAGAUGUGUAAAGCCAGAUUGUGACCCUUUCCCACUUCCGGCAGCUCUUCUUCACUAAACCAGAGGUUGUUACAAGCAGUAAUAUUUCCCACUAUACCACCGAAACGAUCUACCGUAACUUCGUGGUCAACAUAAGCCUGCUCCAGCACUUUUAACAAGGUAUUCCUGUGAGCCUCGGAGCUCAAGAGCAAUGAUAAUACAGAUAUCUUCGAAGGAGUCUGCAGCAAUUGAUCAACGAUCUUGUAGUCGCUCCUCUUUAUUAUUCUCAGAAUCUCAUCUAAAUUCGACUCCUCUAUAGAUUUGCCUGGCUGAUUCACAUCUGUAGAAAUGGGUGAAACAACGGUUGGAGUUGCUUUUUCAACUGGUGGAGUGGUCGGUGUAGCUACCUUCUGCUGAAAUAACGGCGGACGAACCUUCCCGCUUCUUAGUGCUGCAGAAGUCCCUUCGGCAAUAUUGCUUACUGUGGCAAAGGAGGCUAGAGGCACCUCUACUCCAUUUUCUAUCAUAGUAGCAUUGUAUUUGUACGGGAUAGCCCUCUCUGAAGUAUACGGUACCGGUCCGGGCAACCUUAUCACCAAAGGCUCAGCAUUCUUCUUCAAGGGUACACUCUUGACAGGCGGAUCGUGAAAAACUGGCACAAUCACGCAAACAUCACUGACAGUCAGAAGAUUAUCAUUCAUCAAGCUUUGGAUGUCUUCUUGAACAGUAUAACAACCCAAAGGAUCACGGAGACAUCCCAGACACUUGGCAUGAUCAUGAUUGAACAGAGAAGCUUUGCACAGCUUGAUGUGUAGAGGUACCAGAGGAGUUGCGACGUUGCGGACAUCAAGUCUCGGAGCUUCUUCACACACUUCGAUCAUAUUCACAGCGGCAUGAUUUGGAAGAGGAUUGUCGAGGACGUGUGGGACAUUAUUCUCAAAAGUCAGCUUCCCUUGAUCGAUGAGCUUCUUCACGAUAUACUUCAAAGCAUAACACCCCUCGACGUCAUGACCUAAGGCACCUUGAUGAAAGUCACAUUUGAGAUCAGACCUGAACCUUGGAGGCAACGGAUCAGGUGGGGGCUUGCCCUGUCUAGUUGUACAAUGCCCUCUCUGGAGUAAAGUUGGAAGCAACUCAGCAUAUAACAUCGGUAUCGGAGGGAAAGUAGGCCUAGCUUGCUGAUUUUGUUGUUGUUGUUGAACCGGCAUCUGUUGUUUCAUCUGUUGGGCAAUUGCAUUGACGGGCACUUGAGGCUGGCCCGGCGGCAAAGGGUACUGAUGAUAAAACGGUGGGAAGAACGGAUGCUGAGAAUACGGCAUAUAUGGGUAUGACGGAGGCAUUUGAGCUGCAUUGAUAGGAGCAACAGUAGCCAUUGAUUGACCGGCUCCAGCUGACACCAUCCCCACUUCCGUUUCUUUCUUCUUGUGGUGUCCAUUACCGUACUUCUUCGAUGCACUCGUAGAAGAUUCAGCUUUCUCAAACACAAUGAUUCCAUCCUUGACUGCUUCCUCAAGGCGGGUUCCCAUGGUGACCAUCUCCGAAAAGUUGUUCGGGGCAGCGAUGAUCAUCCUCUCAACAUAAUCUUUCUUCAACGUCUUUAAGAACGUCUGGGUCAUUUCUUCCUCAUCUAAAGCAGGAGUGAUACGGGCAGCCGCCCCUCUCCACCUUUGCGCAUAUUCACGGAAACUUUCCUCCUUCUUCUGAGAUAGGGACCUGAGAAACUCCCUAUUUGGCCUCAGUCGAGUGUUAAACCCAUAAUGGCUCUUGAAAGCGGUGGCUAACUCAUCAAAGGUAUGGAUGUCAUUCUUACUCAAACUAGUAUACCACUCUGCGGCAUCCUCCAUCAGACUAUCCUGAAAACAGUGGAUCAUAAGGGAAUCAUUGUCUUUGUAAUUGCCCAUCUUCCGGACGUAUUUGAUGAUGUGAUUUUGAGGACAAGUUAGCCCGUUGUACCGGUCGAAGUCCGGAAUCUUGAACUUUUUAGGAACAUCCACUUUUGACACUAAGCAAAGGUCUUGAGUUUUGACAGAGUCUGCAUUCCCUCGAUUGGCCUGGAUCUCGUGACGGAGUUCUUUAGCAAGUUCCUCCAUCAUCUCUUCCAUAGUCUUGGUUACGGGGAUGCUUCUGUGCUGUGUGUUGAUGUUAAUACCUUGAGGCAGAGUGUGUACCAGAGGCUCAGUGACAGCUGCUGUUGUUUGUGGCAAAGUAGCAAUGAUGGAGGCGGCAUUUGUUGCAGGGAUCAGAACAUUGUUAGCAGUGCCCGAGGUGCUUGCUGUAGCAACGGGAGUGAAGAACGGUGGAAGCCCAUACGGAAACCCCACUGGCAUAGUAAAGCGAUUGUCUGCAGAAGUGGUAGGGAGCGCGCUUGUAGUUACUGGUGCAGCUGUGGUUGUAGGGAUAGCUGUAGCUGAUUGCUCUUGAGCAGCUAGUAGAGCAGUCAUGACGUCAUUAGCUUUAGCCAAUUCCUCCUUUAGAGAGGCUAACUCGGUGCGAAGCUGAGCGUUCUCUUCUUCCAUAGCCCUUUUCUUUCUUCUGUAUUCUCUGGUUCGAUCAAUUCUAUCUGGUUCGUAAACUCUCUGAGCACGAGCCACUUUUCACACUGCGGCAGAGGAACCAGGAGAUAGUGAGCACUUGGAAGCCUUUGUGACCAAUGCAUGAUGCAUAUGAUGCAUGAUAUGCAAAUGCGAAUGCAAAAGACUUAUUUUUUUCAUCGAAGGAUUUUAAAACAAAUUAGAAAUCUUGCAAAUAAACAAAAUUACACAACAUUUUCAACAAGGUAAACAAAUAAAGCUCUCAAGCAUAGGAAGUAGUCGGAAGAUCAUCGGACUCGGAAUCUGAAUCACAGUAUCUGUCAAAGAAAUCUCGUCGUCCUCGAGCUCUCUUGGAAUCCCUCAUAAGCAGCUCGUCUUUCUCUUCCAAUUCCCUCCGGGCCUUAGCUAGCUCUUUCUUCAACAUCAGAUUCUCGUGAGUCUUCUGCUCAUCUCUACCAUCCAAAGUCAUGAUUAGAUUCUCGGCUUGAUUGUACCGAGCUUUCCACACUUGCUUCUCAUGACUCUCCAUAGCUAGAUGCUCCUGAUACAUAUCCUGAGUCGCGGGAAGUAGAGGUAGAGGCAUAGACGGAGUGGAUGAAGACACAUAUCUCAUAGCUGGAUAAGGCAUACCAAUCUCCUCAGCUCGAUCUAUCACCCACUGAGUAUAGGCCUCAUGAGCGACACCGGAUCUCACACCUAGAUGCUUCACACUCUUCCUUCGGACCUUAGACCAAGCAUCCAUGAAAGCUUUCCUUUGUCCGGUGGGAGCAUUCAUGUAGAAGAAGAACUCUGGAGAUGUAGCAAGAUUGAUGGGCUUCGAUUUCAUAGGGAAACCGAACUGUCUCAUAGCAAGCUCGGGGUUGUAGUUGAUUCCUCCACGGGUACCAAGAAGAGGUACAUUGAGAAAGUCUCCGCAACCCAUAAUGAUUUCCUUCACUUGAGCGGCAGGAGUGAGCCAGACGACCUCAUUAGGAGUAAGGGCCAUAAUCCGCUGCGAGUAGGACCAGUUCUCCGAGUUGUCAUGGAAGGAACUCGGAAGGUGCGAAAUAAACCACCUAUACAAAAGAGAUGUGCAGCAAAGAAUAUAUCCACGGCCCUUGAGAGUCCUGUCAUGAAUGGCGUGGUAGGUAUCCGCUAGCAAAGUAGGAACCGGGUUCUUGGAAUGAAAGAUCUCGAUAGCAUUCAUGUCCACGAAGUUGUCGAGGUUCGGAAAGAGGAUGAGCCCGUAGAUAAGCAAAGCAAGAAUAGCCUCGAGUGUAUCCUGACGAGUGGUACCGAGAUUGGCCUGAUCGAGAAGAUACUUCGAAGUGAACCCCCGGAUGUGAGACUUGGUAAUAAGAUGGUUGGAGACGUCGGAAGUCUUGAGGUAGAGAUCCUUAGCAAUAACCAGAGGAGUAAGAGAAGUCCCGGGACCGGUGAAAGGCGUCUUCUCGGCUAUAGGUAAACCCACUAGAUUGGAGUAAGCCUCGAGAGUAGGAACCAACUGGAAGUCCGGGAAAGUGAAGCAACGGAAGCUCGGAUCAUAAAACUGUACUAGAGUGUGCACUAGCUUCUCGUCCACAUCGGUUCGGAGCAAAGUAAGCAAUCCCCCAUACCGGAGUCGGAACCCUGUUUGACUCUUGACCUUGAGUGCCAACUCUCUCAAACUAACCAAAUCCACUUCCUUGAACUUGUAGCACUUAGUCUUCUUCAUACCUGUGAUUAUUUACAAAAAUUUCCAUUUGUUUUAAACCCUUCGAUAAAUGCAUGAAAAAAUGUUUAUGCAUGAAUGCAUGUAUGCAUGAUUGCGUUGUUUAGUUACAAUGUGGGUUGAGGUUCAAAGUAACGGGGCCACGGAUGGACACGGCGUCCGGUGAACUAAGGCUUUGGAUAGUAGUAACCAAGGUUCUAACACAGUUCCCAAACUGCAACCUCUCUCACAUAUAUCAUGGUAGUACAGGACGACACCCGUUCCAUGAUUAUUUGUGAGAAGGUCUAGUUUGAGUGUAGUAUCGCGUGACGACUAAAGUUUGAGACAACACUCAAUUUAGCCACCGCACUACGUCCUAAAAAGGCUAGGAUGGGUUUGGUAACUACGGUUCAUAGCUUCGUCGAACAAUUGAAAGUGAAGUGCCUAAGCAUGACAACACACGCCGACAAUAUCACCUUCAAAAUGCCUCAGCUAUGUGAGAUUGAUCGCAUAAUCCAAUACACGAGGCAACCCCCGGAUCGAAUUGUCGAUUAUAUCUCUACCUAAACAUAAGUUCACUCAGCCCGGGUUAGGACUUUUGAUAUUCUCACCCCACACGUUAGAUGAAAGUAAACAAGUAUUCACAUAUAAGUAAUAAAACAAAGCGUAAAUAUAAACUAAAGAAAACUAGGCGCGACCCGCUAAAAAAAGGUCCCCAGUGAAGUCGCCAUUUCUGUUAUCAUGGUUUUUGGGUGCCAAGCCAUUAAUUGGACUUGAACCUUUUGACCGUUGAUAUCUCUCUUUUUUCUUGGGAAGGGUAAAAGGAGAAAAACCCUUAAAAAGUUCUAGAUUCGGGGGUCGUUUUCACUACGGGAAGGUGUUAGGCACCCGGAGCGAUUAUGGUAUUCCAUAAGAACCGUUCUCCUAAGUUUAUUUCUACGCUUUAGUUUUAUUGCUUAUUUGUAAAAAAGGAAUGUAUGAUUAGUGAAGAAUGGGGGUGAGAAGAAGUAGAAUUUGAUUUUAUUUCGGCUUGGAUGAGUUUUGACUCAUUGCCUACGUACCCUUUUAAGGGAUCAAAACCGUUCGUAGUUCUUGCUAAAAAACUUGUUUUUUGUUUUAAUUGUUUGAUUUUAAGUUUUGAAAAAAAGGUUUUGAAGAAGGAGAUUGGGAGGCUUCAUGAGCAUUAGAUUUAGCAAAAAAGUGAGGUUUGAUUAGUGAUUAGAAAGAAAGUCUAAAUGGUUAAGAUGAAUUGAAUUUUUCUUAAGAAAAAAGAAAGGAAAAAAAAAUGAAGUGUUGACUUCAUACUUAUUAUGAAAAUUUUUGAAGUGAAGUUCAAUUGUUUUUUUUGAAAAAAAGAUGGAUUUUCUCUAAGUGUUUGAAACCUAAGCGCUUAUCUAACCACACAAUCCUAUGCAUACAUCUAAGGUGAGUGUGUGCGUGUCGGUGCGCCAUAGUGUCCAUAGUCCAUAUUACAACAUCUCCUAAAUACAUUCUAUGGCCUCUUUGCCAAGCUACAAACCAAUGGUAAAAUAUUACAUCACCGAACGAAUUACAAUUUGUAAAAGAGAAAACUAAACUAAAGAAGACAAUAGUGAAGAUAAUGAAGUGCUAUGAAGUGAUCAACAUGAAAGGAAAUGUUAGUAGAAAAUGGUAAAAGAAGAAUAUGGCAUAAAGUGAUAGAAGAAAGUAUGGCAUAAGACGGUAGAGUGACGAUGAAAAUAAGCCGGAAACGUGUGAUGAAUAAUGCGUAUGAUGCAAGAAUAAAACCCAGCACAUCAAAACAGUGACAUAUGCAUAGCAAACAGUAGCAAAAUUCAUAUGAAAUAGUAUGCAAAUCAAACAUGACGAAUACGAACAUUAUGCACACGAGGUAACGGGUAAAAAUGCGAGAAAAGUGACUUAAAAUAGUAAAAAAACCCUUGACAAAUCAACACCAAAAUUUUACCAACUUUUCCAAGUAAAAUACCACUGAACAUUAUCAAGAAAAAAAAGUAAAAUGACAUGGUAAUUUUCUUGGUGAAAAUUAGCAUGAACAAAGGGUGCAAACAGCAGGCAGUUAUGGUGCAAGUAGCAAAGAGAAAGAGCAAAAAAACGUAAAAAAAUUUCCAGCCCAAACCAAAAUCCAAUACAGACUGGGCCUGGAUCAUCCAAAGGCUUCAGAGGCGUUGGAUUGAUCCAGAUUCAGAUCUGACGGUUUAGAACACACAGCGCAUGGCAACGUAAAUCAAGCAUAUGGUAACAAUGCAUCACAACCGUUCAAAGGAGAAAACCCUAGAUCCUACGGUUCAAAAUGAAAAUGAAAUAAACCGGACCGGUUCACGCGUCUAUAUAAGGACAUGGAUACCGGUCCAGUCCAUUUCUUUCAUUUCCUUCUCUCUCUAAGUUUCCCUCUCCUCUCACUUCUCUCUAACCUCGCCGCCGGCGAGGAUGAAGCUACGGCGGAGACCUUGAAGGUCCGCCGGAAACUUCAUCUUCUCCGGCGAGUUCAUGAACUCCGGUGACCUAAAAUUUCCAGAAUUUCAAAAUUUCUUCAUCAAUCAAUUCGUCCUUUAACCCUAAACACGAAUCCAGCAGUUGUUUUUUCAAAUUCAAUUCGAAACGAUGUAGAUCUGGAAAUUUGCCGUACGGCUUUGAAUUUGAUUUUGAUUUUUCGAAAGAAAACGUUUAGAUCCUGGAAGAUCUACAUCAUUUCGUUGUUUAACACCUCUUUGAUGUUUGUUUUUGCUUUCAAAACUUAGAUCCUUAUGGAUCUAGGUUUUGUGUUUACGGUUACGGCUUUGGUUUUGAAUUCUGGAAAUUUUGGAUCUGUUUUGCUUGCGUGAUUUUUAGGUUUAACAGUGAUAUUAUUUCUGAGAAAAGUUUAUGAGUUUUACCUAAGGUUUUGGUUGAAACCUUUAAUGGAGGAAAUCUUUGGAAAUCUUGAUUCUGUUCUUGAUGAUUUUGAUUCUGUUUGCUUCACCGGUCCAGAUUCUUCAUCUUCUCUGACUCUUUCUCUGCUUCUCUGUGAUUACGUGCUUGAGCUUGCUUCAAUGUUUCUCAGAUUCACGCGAGGAAACCCUGUGAUCAGUGCUUGAGCUUGCUUCAAUGUGAGCUCGCACUUGGAAUUGCAGGAAAAUCUUCAAUCCGGUGAUGAAGAUUCACACGAAUCUCUGAGGAUUGAUGCAAAAAUGUUGAUUCUGAUGGAAAAUUAGGGUUUCUGGAGAACGGUUAGGGUUUUUUGUUCUUGGUGUUCUUGAUGAAUCUGAGAAAUUUUUCUGUUUUGAUUCAGUUACUAAGAAAAAGAAAAUUGAAUCUGUGUUUAUGAGUUGGCGUGUGAUCCAUGGCUUUGAAUCUGACUCACUGUUUAUAUAGUUGACAUGUGUACUUGAGAUCCAAUAAAAAGGUGACACCUGGAAUUGUAUGAGAGUGGCACGGCUUGGACAAAAAAAGAAAUUUGGACCUUUCUGCAAAAAAUAAAACUUCAAGGACUAAACUGCAAAUAAUCCAAAAAGGACUGAAACGUAAAAAAAGAAAAUUCUGGACUAAAAAUGCAAUUUUGGGACCUCAAUUGAGGGACCAAAAUGCAAUUAAAAAUGAAAUUGAAUAAAAAACGUAAUUUGACCAAACGUAAAGCGAAACAAAAAUAAAAUUGACAAAACGGACUAAAACGAACCAAUUGACCUAAAUGAGGUACUUCAAAGUAACCUCUCUACGCCAAAAUUUCGUGUGAAAUGACCAAAAUGCCCCUAGGGCUAAAAUUGACCAAAACAGAUUCAAAUUGACUCGACACUGACUCAGACGCAAGUUUGAAACGAAAUUAACAAAGUUUACUGAUGAAAUGUAAAAAAAACAAAUUGAAAAGACUCAGAGACAGUCACAAGGAUGAAAAUGGGUCCCACUGCAGGAAAUGACCAAAAUACCCUUCUGUAUGACUUUUUUGCAAAUUUUGAAAUAAACUGUAGAAAAAGCAAUGCACUGAUUCAGAGACACUUUUGAAUGACUUAUAAGACAAGUAAAGACACUUCAAAAGGUUUUAUGCAAGAAAAACAUAGGUGAAAUUGUGAUUGAAAAUACUGCGAGGCAGAGACAAUUUGAACUGUGCAGUUGAAAUUUGAUAAUUGACAAAGUUUGAAAUGAAAUUGGGCCCAGUAUUUUUAGGUCCAAAAACAUGGUAUAACACUCAGUAGUGAGGCUUUCCAAGCUGAGAGCUUAGACUUGAGUUUGUCUGCAAUAGGUUGCAAAUGAGCUCUUUUUGGUUUCCCUUUAAAGAUAGGGACCCCCAGAUAGGUGAAAGGUAAAGUACCUUUGUUGAAACCUAUGAGAUCAGUGAUUUGAUUUAUUCUAGCAAUAGAUAUCGAGCCAUAAAACACAGUUGAUUUUGCCGGGUUGAUUACUUGCCCAGAAGCACUAGCAUAAGAAGAGAAUAAAUCCAUAAGAGCCUGAAUAGAAGAGAUUCUACCUUUGCAGAAUAUCAUGAUGUCAUCUGCAUAUAGAGAGUGGGAAGGGAUGUUAUAUGAUCUUGAACCUUUGAUUAACUCCACUUUUCCUUGUUGAACAAGUUUGGUAAUGUUCCUACUGAGCACAUCUUCAGCAAUACAAAAGAGAAGAGGAGAUAGAGGGUCCCCCUGCCUCACUCCUCUUUGGCAAUGAAAGUAUCCAUUUUGUUUCCCAUUAACUGAUAUGGAGAGAGUUGCGGAUUUGAGAAUUGUAUGAAUCCAAGAGCACAAUUUCUCACAGAAACCAAACUUACUGAGAACUCUGAGCAAAAAUUUCCAUUCCAAUGUGUCAAAAGCUUUGGAAAUAUCCACUUUAAAAGCUAGAUUACCUGCAAAAGAUUUGUGAUGAAGGUGGUUAAUUACUUCUGAGGUAAUGCAGAUUCCAUCUUUGAUAUUCCUCCCUUUUAUGAAUCCUCUUUGUUGCGGAGAGAUAAUAGACUUCAUAAUUGGAGCCAAUCUGUCAGCAAGUAUCUUGGAGAUUAUUUUGAACUUAAAGUUAGCUAAGGCAAUAGGUCGAUAUUGUUCAACUUUCCAAGCAUCAGCCACUUUAGGAAUUAGAAUGAUGGUGUUUGCAUUGAAAUUUGGGAGAAUCCAAUCUUUGGUGAAGAAUUCAGUCACUGCAUUGAUAACUUCUAUCUUUAUGAUGUCCCAAUAUAUAUGGAAGAAACAAGCACCAAAACCAUCCGUCCAGGAGCUCCUUCCUUAUUCAUAGCGAGCACUGUUUGAUGAAUCUCGUCUGGAGUGGGGAUUCUGGUCAAAAGAUUGUUUACCUCAUCAGUAACAAGGUCUGGUAUGGGGUCUUCAAGUAAUUGAUCAACCUGCAAUUCCUGCACAACAUUGUUAGUGGAAAAAAUAUUUUUAAAGUGAUUUGUAAUGAGACUUGAUAUUUCCUCCGGGUCAGUAACCAUGUCAUCACCAUUCAUGAGGCUGUUAAUGAGUUUAGAAGAGUUUCUGAUUUUGGAUAGUCUAUGGAAAAACUUGGUGUUUCUAUCACCAUCUAAGUGCCAAGCACAUUUGGAUUUUUCCCUCCAGUAUUCUUCUUCAAUUUGCAAGGCAUUCUCUAAAUUUAAUUGAGCAUCUCUGUGUUGGUCUAUCAAAGAAUCUGUGGUUCCAAUGGCGUCAAUGUCAGAUUGAAUGAGGGAGAGGUUGUGUUCAGCUGUUCUAACCAUGUUGUGUACAUCUCCUAAAAUAGUUUUGUUCCAGUCUUUCAACUUUUGUUUCAGCAGCUUAAGCUUCUGGUUUAAAAUGAACAUAGGGCAUCCAACAAAAUUUGUGUUCCAAGUUUCUUGGAUCAGCCGCUUGCAAUCAUCAUGAUGAGUCCACAUUUGCAUGAACUUAAAUUGAGACCUGAAGCAGAUAUUAGAGUUUUCAAAUUCCAGUAAAAGAGGGAAGUGAUCAGAUUUGUGGUUCACUAGGGUUGAAACAUUUAUAGUGCUGCAGACAUCCAACCAAUCCUGAUUGCAGAUUGCCCUGUCUAAUCUUCUCUCUGUUGAUCUUUGGCCACUUCUUCUAUUUGACCAUGUGAAUUGGAUUCCUCUAGUUGGCAAGUGUACGAAGUUAUUGGUGUCUGACCAACUAUAAAAUUCGUUCAUAGGUGCCCUUGCUGGAGGAAGUGCACCUCUAUGCUCAUGGGAUCCUAAGAUAGAAUUAAAAUCGCCAAUGGCACACCAGGGUAUGUUGAGGUUGUUGUAAAUGUGUUCAAGACUGAGCCAAAGGUUUCUUCUGGUAAUAUAAUUGGUAGAGGCGUAGAUGGCUGAUAUACAAAAAGGUUGGUUAUUAUGUACAAAAGUGAAAGUGACAUGUUGACUGUCUGAUGUAAUGAUAGUAGGGUUAAGGUUUUUAGCACAAAAGCACCAGAGAUUUGGGGUGUUGUUUUGUCUAUUGUUAAAAGCAAAAGGUUUGAAGUUCAAAGAAUUGAACCAAUUUCUGGGUAAAUGCUCGUAGUGCAUCCAGGGUUCAGAAAUGAAAAUGAAUUUAGGUUUAUUUGCUAAAAUAAAAUUUUUCAGGGCUAACCUUGAUGAGGAGUUAGCCAUCCCUCUAAUGUUCCAAUAUAGACACUUCAUUGGGAAGGCCUAGUUGGAACCUUAGAUCUUGUAAGGUAUGAUGAACUGGCCUGUGAUUUCAAAGCUUUUGCUAAUUUUUUCUUAGCUGAUCUGCUGGUGACUGUUUGGAAACCUGCAGUAUCAAUAUUCUGUUGAAUCUCAUGAGCUAUUUGUUGAUCAAUUUCUAAUUCUGCUGCAAUGGAUUCAUUAAGUGCUUGUUGUUGCAUUCUGAUCUGCUUUUCGUCAAUACCUUCAAGGUUGGCCCAGGAUUCAUUCAGAAAAUGAAUGUCAUUUUGGAUUCUAACAGGUGUUACUAGUGCAUCAGUAUGCAUUUCUGGUUCCCUUCUUUGUGUUGCAUCCACAAACUCAGAUUCUUGACUUUCCCCAUCAUCUGAUUCUAAAGGCUGGUCAAGUGAAUUGUUUGCAAUAAAUUCAUCAUCAUUAACCCUGUUAUCACUGGGAGUAGGGGAAGCAAUAACAGGUUCCAAAUUGAUUGGAGAUUUCCUGAUGUUGGCUUGCUCUUCAUCAGCUUCUGUCUCAUUAAGCAAUGUUGUUACGUCCCUGAUUGGCUCUUCCUUCUCUAAAUCAAUCACAUUAGUAUCUUUAGGUAUCCAAACAUUUGAAUGAUCCUUUGCUUUGGCAUGAACCUUACCUGCAUCAAUACCAGACUCCUUAGGUUUGUUUUUCCAACCAUUAUUUGUCUUCAUGGCCUUUCUGCAAACAUCUACACCAUGCCCCACAGUUUUACAAAAUCUGCAAAACUCAGGGAAAUUCUCGUAUUCAAGUUGUACAAAGAAAGCGAAACCUUUUCUUUCCACCAAAACUUCAUGUUUCAAAUGAUCAGACACAUCAAUGUCAACCAAAACCCUAGCGUAGUGUCCAAACGUUCUCUCUAGGGCUGGCUUGCUUGUGACUGAGUCCACACAUAUUGGUGUGCCAGCACUACUCGCAAUGGCAAAAAUGAUUUUCUUUCUCCAAUAUUCCUGAGCGAGUCCGUGGAUCCUCAACCAAACCUGCGCAGAUGAGUUCGAUUGUUGGCUAGGGCUAAAAUCACGUGACCAGGGAAAAAGCUUCAAAAAACCAGGGUUUAGUGGCCAAGAGUUUACAGAUCUAACUCUUCGAGCAUCUUCAAUCGAAGAGAAAACGAAUUCAUAAUAUCCUUUUCCAAUGGACGUAACCCCCCAAGGGUGAAGAUCUUUCCAAAUAGGCUUCAGCUUAUCUCUCAACGCCAUCACUGUUAAAGGAGAAGAACCCUUCGGCCAGAUAACCCUCGCGUGAAGGUUAUUCUUGCAUGCAUCUAAUCCAAGAUCAUAUUCAUCAUCAGGGAUCAAAAUUGAGAAUUUAUCUCCUUUGAGGGUAGGUUUGGGCAGUUGUGAAUCUGGGAUGUCACAAACGUUUGACAAAACUUGCGCAAAUGUUUUUUGAAUUGUGGGUUGAGUUUUGUGGUUGGUUUUUGGUACGAUCUUUGUUGGAGUGGAGUCAUCAAGGCAUUUCCAAGGUAUAGUGAAAGGUUUGGCUGAUGUUGAGGAAGAGGAAGGCAUGGCGGUGGUGAAGUUGAUGUAUGGCAUGAAGGUGGUGAUGAACAGUAGCUAAUCGCCAGAGAAAAAAUCAAGUCCCAUGAUCCUCAAAAAUCCAUAGAAAACCAUUUAACAAACUUAAUUAUUCAAUAUUCACACAAAACCCUUAUUAAUUUUAAAAGGUAAUGUGAAUCACACUAUUUUGAUUAAAUUAAUUUAAAAUCAUUAUAGAUUAUCUUAUACAUUUAUUGGAGAAAGGAAGGAGAAUCACAUGAUUUUAAUGCAUUAAUGAUUAAUAAAGCAAUCAAGUAAGACAAUUGGAUUUAAUACGUAAAUAAUAACUCUUAAUCUAAUGACAAAUUAACAUGUAUCAUUUUUAUGUUGUUGAGCCAAUUAUAAUGCCUCAUUUUAGUUUUAUUACAUCAUUUUUUUAUUUUUAAUUUGCUUCAAAUAAUAUUUUACUUAUACUAUUAACUAUGUACCACAUGUUUCUUCAAUAAUUUCAUUUGCAUAUUUCUCUUUCAUGGAGUGUUGUAAUAACAUCAAGAUCUGAUAACAUCUAUGAAAUCAAUCCAUAGAAGGAAUCAUAGAGCAUAUUCGUUCAAAUUGUUCGUAAUUCGUUCGUGAUGUUGAUCAUGACACACCUGUUUACUUGAGAAAUAUUCAAAUGAGUACUGCUCCCAAAACAAAACAAAAAAAAAUACAUAUUAUGAAAUAUGUUACCCUUUUGGAUAAUCCUACUAUAUGGGCUCUCAUAUCCUUAAACAACAGUAAAUAGCAUGCAUUCCAUAUCUGUGAGCAUGCCUCAUUUAAUAUGACAAUGCAAUGUAAUGUGCAAGGGUUGGAGUCUGAAUUCAAAUUUGAAUGAUCUUAUGAAAUUCAAAUUUCUUCUAUCUAUUUAUUAUAACAAAAAAAAAAAUCCUUAUGUCUAAUUAGAAUGAUUUCCUCAUAUCCAAAUGACUUUGACUUUCAUUUGUAUUCAUUGCUGCUAAAUUAUAUAAGGCUAUAAACUACUAUUAAUUGGACUCUUAUAACAUUAUGGAUCAUCGUUCAGAUUUUAGAUGUAGUCACAUUUACUAUUGAUAUACACCUCAAAUAUGGUAAACUCCGGUUGAGAAAACAUAUUUCAAACUAAAAAACAAUGCAUAAAUGCAUGUUAAAAAAUAAGGUCAAACAUAGACAUAUCAUGUUCAAAAAGGUUGGUUGGUGGUGGUUUCAUAUUGAUCGAUUUAUGUUCGUUUAUUUUUUAAGAAGAAAGAAAGAAAAUUAAAAGGAAGAAAUAUGGUGAAUUCUAGGAUGAGGGUUCAAUUAAGUCCGUCACCGGUAGACCACUUUAAAGAGUAAUUAAGAGCCAAUAGAUCAAUCUCUCUCACACAUCUUACUAUGCACUUUAUGCACCACAUCACAACAUUCCUUUUUAUUUUUAUUUUUCCUCUCUUCUCUUCCGUCUUCCCGAUCUCUACUUCAAACAUCACAUAGUCAUUAACAUAAUAGACCAAAGUAAGACAUCAAAAUAAUAAAACACAGACAGUGUAAUCAAAAUUCCAAGAGUGUCCUUCGAAAGAACAUCAUAUGUUGAGGAUAUAAUUUCUUUCUAAAUCAACAAAGUGAACAUGAAUCUUGGUGAAAAUUUAGAGACUACUCUCAAAUUUUUAUUUUUUUAAUGAUAGCCAAUGUGUUCCAUUUUUUUCCAAUAAAUUUGAUCCCCUUUGAUGUCUCUGACCCGUUGGGUGAAUCUUGAAUUUUGUAAAAACAAUAACAAUUAAUAAAAAUAAUAAUAAUUGCAAUUUCUUCUAUCUGGGUUUGUGAAAACAUGCAAUAGGUUAUUAGUUUUAAUUUUUUGGUAGAAAUUCUCAAAAUAAAUGUUGAAAUAACACUAUUAACAUUUUUACGGUAAAGGUCUCAGAAGUUUGAUUUUAGGAAAUCUAUUGAUUUGAAUCUAACAUUUUUACAUGUAAUUGGCAUUUUAACGAGAUUUGAAUCAAAUCAUAUUAAAAUAACUAUGAAAUUAUCAUGAAAGAUGCACUUUUACAGCCUGUUUGGUUUGAGAGAGAGAAAGGGGAGGAGAGAAAUAGUUAAGAAAGUGUCAAUUUCGUUCGUUUGGAACACGAGAGAAACAGGUGCGAGAGACUAAACCAGCGUGGGUCCCACACCUUUUUUCUUCUUCUCUAACCUGCGAAGAAAACAGAGAGAAAGCUUCCUUAAUUCAUUUUUCCAUUAAUGCCCAAAAUCAUCCUGCCUUGGAAUUUUCCUUUUUAAUGGCAAAAAAAAAUUACAGAAUAAAUCAUCCUGCCUUUUUUUUUUUAAUCAAUAAAUCAUCCUACAUUGUAUCUGUGAAAGAAGUCCAUAGAAGACAGAGGUUGAAAACAAACCAGAUUUAAUAAUAACAAUCUUUGAUGGAUUUAUCAAAAACCUAUAUUAAGUUAAAACUGAAAAUUUGUGUUUAGAGAAGGAGAAGUUAAUACUAACAAAAAAAUGAUUGUGGCUGAGACGAAAGGAGAUAACGUGUCUGUAUACCAUGAUGAUCUUUGGGUUAACUAUGGAUGGAUAUUUAUAACUUGAUUUAGUCAAUUAAAUUUAAAACUAAAAGUUAUAAUAAAAAUAUUUAUCAAUCCAAAUUUAUAAUUUCUAAAAUUACAAACAUAAUCUAAUAUGUUACUUUGGAUUAAAUUAAAUUACUAGAAAAUUUAUUUAAAUUAUUUAAAAAAUUAAAUAGAUAGCUCUAAAAACAAUAAAUUAAUUUUUAUAUUAGGUUUUUCAAUUAAGGGUAUUUUGGUACAUUUCAAAAUAACCAACACUUCUUUCUUCUCUAUCUCUUCUAUCUGUCUCUUAUACCAAAGAACCUAUCAAAUCAACUCUAUUUCUCACUUAUUUCUCUCUUUUCAAACUCUCUCUUACCUAUUUCUCUCUUCACGAUUUUCUCUUCUAAGCCAAACACACCCUGGGCUCAACCGAGAGAAGGUUUGGGAGCAGAGAAGGCCUGAGAGGAAGAGGAGGAAGAAGAUAGUUGUGAUGUGGUGGAUACAGUCUUUAAAGUGGAGAUAGAUGUGGUGCAUAGUAAAAUGUGUGAGAUAGAUGGAUCUAACGGUUAGUAGUUACUCUUUAAAGUGGUCCACUGGAGGGACUUGAUUGAAUUCUCACCAUAGAAUCCACGAAGAGACGAAUAUGAAAAAGAAAUUCGAACAUGAGAGAAGAUGAGGAAACAAGGUAUUAUGUGUUUUGUUCGCAAGAGUAUAUGGAAUAAUGGGAGUUGUUGGUAAUAUUAUGAGUUUGUUGAAGAAGUUGGAUAGUUCUGGGUAAUUAUUUUACCAAAAAAUUAGAUUCAAUUAAAAAAAAUACCACAAAAUUUUAAAUGUUUAAUGAACAUGUAUUUUGUCAACUCAGUUUUCCAUUAUCACUUGCCACCAAAGACCGAAAGUAAAUGAAUUUAAAAUAACAGUGGUUGAAUGAAAAGAUUCACGUGGAAGAGAAUGAUAUCCAAAAACUAUAUUUUAAGCAAACAAAUUAAACAAAUGACAUCUAAAAAUUAAAGAAAAAACAGUUCAUCGUAAGUUUGUGACUUUUGAGAGAUCCUACAUCAAGUUUGAUCAUCAUAUUACACUAAGAGAAUAAACACAAGUGAUUUUGACACCAUAUUUUCACCCUAAAAAUUAAGGCAUUAGAUAUAUGGAUGAUGGAAACGAACAAAGAAAAACUGGUAUGAAAGUGAACAACAUGACCAUUUCAAAUGGUAUGGAAGCGAAUGACUUCCAAUGACCAAAAUUCAAGAUAAAAAAUCAAACAUAAACUAGUAAGAAGUAACAAACAUAAAGCAAAAGAAUUCCUGAACAAAAUGUCAACUCUAAUUAGUUAUCAAAAGGCCUUACAUCCGAAAUUUAACAAAAUAGUUUAUCAUAUUUUUGGGACUUCCAUGGGAACCUAAAUUAGGUGGGAUAGUCAUAUUAGACCAGUAGCAACCCCACAAGUGCGUUUGAUAUUAAAUAUUCACGCAAAGCCUGUAGGCACUAGGUAUAUGAGAUAUCACACUUAUUUGUUAUUCGAAAUAUACUCUUGCAUCCACUAUGUAGAAAGUUAACUUAUACUUGACACAUUAAAAUCAUUUAAUUAAGUAUGCAACUAUCUGCAUUCCUAAUUAUGUGACAUAAUCAUAUAAAGUCAAACAGAGACAUAACAUGUUCAAAAAGGUGAGUUGAUGGUGAUUUCAUAAAGGGAGGUUUAUGUACCUUUAUUUCAUGAGAAUAGAGAACAUAAAUUAGAAGAAACACAAUGAAUACGAAAAAGAAAUUUGAACAUGAGAGAAAUAAUAAAGAAAAAAAUGUAGCGUGUACUUUUUCUAUGAGUAUAGGAAAUAAAGUUAGUUGUCGGUAAUUUUAUGAGUUUGUUUAAGGAGUAAGAGAUUUCUUGGUAACUAUUUUACCAAAAAAUUAUACUUAAUUAAAAAAAUGUCACAUUAUUUUAAAAUGUUUACUAAUUAGUAAACAUUUCAAAAUAAUUACCCAGAAAAAAAUGUUGAUGUGUUAUACUAAGUUGACAAAAUACAUAUUUAAAUAUGUAUUUUUUCAACUUAGUAUAACAUGUAACGCCCUAGUCGUUUUUUUAUUAUUUUUAGAAUUAGUUAGAAUCUUUGUGUGUUUUUAAUUAAUUUAUGUGAUUUAUGUGGUGUGUAGUAUUUAUUUAUAUAAUUUAUUUAAUAUAAAUAGAAUAAUAUGUGAAGGUGAGAAAAACACAAGAAGGGGGGGGGGGGGUUGAAUUGUGUUUUCUUUUUCUCUCUUAAAAAAUACUUCUUCUGAUAAAACUUCAGAAGCAGUUUGUGAAUGCUUCUGAUGAAAUGAUCAGAAUCAGAUAUGCAGCGGAAAAGAACAGAGCAGAGAAAAGAAGGGCAAAGACACAAACAGUUAUCCUGGUUCCUUCCACAAAUCGGAAGUAGUCCAGUCCCCCUUGCACUUCCAAGGAGAUUUCACUAUAAUCACAAAGAUUACAAAUGCUCAAUACUCUUUAAGUAUGAGACUUCUCAAAAAUGCUUAAGCACACACGCAAGAGUCUUCCAAUGCUCAAGCACUAAGCAAGAGUCUUCUAAUGCUCAAGCACGCAGGCAAGAGGCUUCUGAUCAAACAAAAAUACAAUGAAUUAAGUUUGACUUGAACACUUGAUAUACAAUCAGUGGUGUUCACAAUACAAUACAAUAAAGACUCUAGACUUUUGAAUUUCUAAGAUGUAUCAAAUCAGUGCAGAAAUUCAAUGUGCUUUUUAGAAUCAAAUUGACAGAGUUUUGGCGCUUUUUAACUUGUGUAUCUCUAUCUACUAUCUUCAAGUCUUCACUCCUUUAUAUAGAGGUGUGAAAGAGACGUUGAGAUGAUUAGCACGUCUAAAGAGUCAUUUGAAAUCCUUUGAUCAUUCACCAGUAAUCCUUUGCCUGAUUUGGGUGUUGUCCUUUGAAGAAUUAGCUUCAAAUUCAUUCCCAUCUUGAAGGCACAAAUUCUGCAGGCAUAGCUGUUGUCUUGUCUUGUAGCGUGGACAAAACAGAGUAGUGGAGGUAGUGGUUGUACACUUGUACUUUGUCAACUCUGUUAACGAAGGACAAAUGCUCAGCGCUAUCCAAAUGACCGUUGAUACCUCCCUUUCAAUUCUUCGUUCUUCUUAGAUAAGGUUGAAAUGAGAAACAGCUACUUUGGAUCUUCAGUUUGAAUAUAUGGAUUAAAUGUAGCUUCUGGUGAUGAUUUCGCUUCUGAUGAAAACCUUGCUUCUGAUGAGCUUCUGCUUCUGAUGACGUCAUCACUUCAGAAGCACUUCAGCUUCAGAAACACUAUAAGCUUCAGACGCAGUUUUCUUCAGAUGCUUAGAAUUUCUUUUUCUUUCCAUUGUUCUUCCAAGACCUAUUGAAAUUACUUGACUAGCCUUUGGUCCUGUACACUUGAACAAUUAUUAGUAAUAACCAAUUGACAAUUUUUAAUACCUUUUUAUCAUCAAAACUCAUUAAGGUUCAUUGUGAAACACAUUUUGUUCCAACAAUCUCCCCCUUUUUGAUGAUGACAAACAAUAGUAUUUAAAAUGUUCAAUUGUUGUUGAUCUAAUUAAUAAGUUGACUAUUGGGAUAGAGGUUUGUAAGCUCCCCCUGAGUUCUAUUCUUAUUAAUUAAAUUUCAAUAAAAAUACUCAUAAAAUAUCAGAAGUAUUAAAGAAAAGGUUUAGAAGAGGUUCUGAGCAAAGCUCAAGUUAUUAUAAUGGGGCUCAGAGCCUUAAAAUACUAUACAUCUACUCCCCCUUUUGUCAUCAACAAAAAGUAAGUAAAAACAAAAGAAAGAGUAUCAGAGCAACAAAAGGAUAAACUUUAAAAUACAGUGUAUCAGAGUAAACAACAGUAAAAAAAAUGCAGCAAAUAUUAUCAGAGCAAAAGCUUAUAAAUAGCAUGAUUCAGAAGCAAUGAUAAAAUAUAUGAUAUGCAAGUCAAAGUACAAAGUCAUAGCAAUUAUAAUACUUAAAACAAAAAUCUAAACAAGCAACAUAUGUGUGCAACUAAGGUUUGGCUAGCUUAGACAUCUGUUCCAAUAGAUAUUUAAUCUGCUCAUCCUUCUUCUGAAGUUGUUCUUUCUGUGCUCUCAGUCUUCUUUUCAGCCCAGCUUGAAUUCUAUCAGCCCUUGAAGUGUAAUCAUCUUCUGGAUAGAAAGGAGAGUUGGCUAACAGAGGCACAUAAUCCAGCUCCUUCACUAUAGCUGCUUCAUGCAUAUCAUCCGACAUUUUCUUCAGCAUUGCAGAGUGAGAUGAGAUACAUUUUGUGCUUAGUUGAUCCAGCAGCUCAUUAAAACCUUUCUUCAGAUCCAUCCAUUGAUCCAGAUAGUGAAUGAGAGGUACAGGAACUGUUCUGAGAAGAAUCAGUGUCUGAAUCUCAUCACUAAGCCUAAUAAGCUGUUCAUCUAUAUACUCAGAUUCUAGGAUGGUGUCUGGGAUGGGUGUUUGAGAUGUAGAAGGUUGAUUUGAGGUUGUUUGAUGGUCAGAAGAGGUUAGGUCAAUUAUUGGUGGUUCUGGUUGUUGUUGUUGUUCUGUGUUGGUCUGGGUUGUUCUGUGGUAGUUUGAUCUAGGUCAGAAACAGCCUGUUCAGGAACAGUUGGUUCAGGAACAGUUUGUUCUAGGUCAGAAGCAACUUGUUCAAGAACAGUUUGUUCAGGAACAGUUUGCUCAGGGAUGGUUUGAGUUUCUGUUUGGGUUUCUGUUUGUUGGUUUUCCAAAACAGUCUUUUCAGGGACUGUCUUAGAGGCCUUUGUGGGUGUAGGUUGCAUUUCACCACCUAAAUGCUUUUCUAAGUUAUGAAGAGUUGAUGAUUCUUGGUGUUGGGGGGUUUCUGAAGUAGUUGCAUCUGAAACUACUUUAGAGGCUUUUUGUGGAGAUUGGUUAUUUUGUGGGUUGGUUUCAGGAAAUUGUAUACUAACAGCUUCUGGAAUUUGUGGUUGAAAAAAGUGAUCUUGAGGCAAAUUGAAUUUUUCACAGAUUUUUAUCCUAUUCUUAGAAAAUUCAAUUUGGGUCUUUUCAUAAUCAAUUGUUCCAUAGGUUGUUAGUUUGGUAGGUUUGCGAUUUAGUAGUUUUUCAAUGUGUUGACUAAGGGGUUGGUCAUCUGAUUCAGUGGAUGAUGAUGAGGGUGAAGAGGGAAGGUCAGGAAUCUGAGUAUUGAUGUCAGUUUUUAGAGAAGUACCUGAAGAGUGAGGUUCUGGAUGAGCUGCUUCUGAAGCUUUAGAAGCUGGUUCUGAUGAAGUAGCUUCUAAAGCCUGCUUGUUUUUCAAAGCUUGAGAUAGCAGUUUCACUCCCUCCUGAACAGUUUCCUUUUCAACCUCAGCAGCCAACGCAGCAAACUCAGCAGCCUUGAGUUGUUCCUCCUUUUUCUUCUCCUGUCUCAACUUCUUCAGCCUUGCCUUCUCAGAAGUGAUAUAGUCUCUAGCAUAUUGCCAUUGUUCUUCUGAAGGAACAAACAUUGGCAUUACACUAGGCUUACUCUUAGCCUUUUUAGCACUUGGCUCUUCUUCUGGCUGUUCAGCUUGAUCUUCUGUGCUUCCUUCAGAAGUUUUCAGAUCCCUUGUUCUCUUGAUUCUGAUGGUUUGAAGAGCAGCUUCCCUAGCAUCAGAUUUCUUGACUUUCUGCUUCUGAACAUCUUCUUCAGAAGCAGGAGCUUGUUCAGAAGCUACAGCUUGUUCAGAAGCAGAAGCACUUGCUUUGGAUUUCUUGGGCUUUGGUGCUGCAACCUCAACCUUUGUCUCUUUUCUUGUCCUCUUUCCUUUCACUUUGAGAGGAGCACCUCCAAUCUUCUCAGGAAUAGAUGCAACACUGAUGAUUUUCCCGGUGAGCUCAAAGUGAGCUUUGAUGAACUGAUACAGAACCUCAGGAUUAUCCUCUUUAGAGAUUGAGGGGAAAUCCGUCAUAAGAUAUGAUUGAACAGUUUCUAUAGUCAAAUCCCUGUUGGACGUGACUACAUCAUCAAUUAGCUUCAUAGACCUCAGAGUCCUUCCAUUGAUGAUUUUUCCAACACAUGUUCCUAGCUCCUCAUCUGAAGAUACCCAUGUUUCUCUGAGAUACUUCAGAAGCUUCCCUUGAACAAAAAUUUCAGAAAGUAGCCUUCCAAAGGGAAUUUGCCUUCUUCCGUUCUUUUGGCUUUCCUUCAGAGCCCAGCACAUAUGAUGAAGGAUAUACUUUGGCAAAUUUAUUCUUUGAUAAGUUGCAAGGCAGUACAUAACUACCUUGUGAUCCAAAGAUGGAGCAUCUGUACCUCCUCCCUUUUGGAAAAUGCAUUCUGACAGAAUUUUCUUUAAAACCCUGUGAACAGGUGAUAGUUCUGAAGAUUUUCCCUUUGCAUUUCCUUGGAACAGGACUUCAUUGACCUUUUCUUCCCACUGGCUCUUAACAGCUUCCACCUGAUAUAAACCAGAAUUUUCACAUCUGCAUACUCUUGCAAUGAUGUCUGCAGUAAUACUGAUCUCCAUUCCCAUCACGGCAGACCUUAUCUCAGUUCCUUCAAACGGUUUCAAACCCAUUUCUGUUCUUGAUUUCCCUUUCAGCUUACGGUUCUUCUUUACCAUCUCAGAUUCUUCUUCUUCAGCAGCUUUUCUGUCAAAUAUCUCUGCCCUGACCCAAAAGUCUUUUACCAAAUUCAUAUAUGUAGGACCAUUCAGCAUACUAACAUAUUGAAUCAUAUGCUGAGCGGUAAAAUGAUUUUCGAUAUCCAUCCCAUUCCUUUUUAAUGAACCAAAGUCUAUGGAAGAUUCCACUUGAACGUCCAAUCUAUCCAAGGGUACAGUCAUAGUUCUUUCCUUUAGAACAUAUGAUUUGUUGGUGUUGAUUCUGAUAGAUGGAACUGAGCUAGAAGAUGCCAUUUGAUUGAUUGAAGAUUGAAGAGGGUUUCUAGGGUUUGAAGUUUCUUAGCAGAGAAGGUUUGAAAUGAAAUGAGAGUGUGAGUUGUGAAGUGAGUAGUGUGUGUUUUUGCUUAAGUGUAUUUAUCAAAACGUUUGCAAUUCAAAAGAGACAAACAAACAUAGCAUUAAUGACAAAUUAGGGGCGCGUGUUAGUACGUUUAAAAGCAAAUAAAACAUCAUUGCCUUUUUUGUUAUACUCCAAUACAAAUAGACCACGUCAGAAAUUUUUCAGAAAACUAACCUUUGGGUAAUGGGACAGCUGUUACAAAAAGUAACUGCCAACGUUCCCACUAGCCAGCUAUUCAGAAGCAAAGAAUACCGCUUCUGAAGUUUUAGUGCUGACGUCAUCUUCAGAAGCACAUUUUCCUCAGAACCUCAGUUAAGAGCUUCUGAUGGACCAGAUGCUUCUAAAUGGACUUCAGAACCAAGCUUCUUAUUCAGAGGCAAGCAAUUUUUCAAUCAGACACAAAGUGCAUGUUCAAAUUUUUCUUAAUAAAAUCAAAUCUUUCAACAGAUAAAGGUUUUGUAAAUAUAUCAGCCCAUUGAUGUUCAGUAUCAAUGAAUUGUAUAUCUAAAAUUCCUUUUUGAACAUAGUCUCUGAUAAAAUGGUGUUUGAUCUCAAUAUGCUUGGCUCUAGAAUGUAGAAUUGGAUUCUUUGACAAACAAAUAGCAGCAGUAUUAUCACAAAAGAUGAGAAUACUGUUAGCAUUAAUCUGAUAAUCUUCCAACUGAUGUUUCAUCCAAAGUAGUUGUGUACAACAACUUGCAGCUGAAAUGUAUUCUGCUUCUGCUGUAGACAUAGCAAUAGUUGCUUGUCUUUUGCUUGCCUAGGAUAUCAGAUUCUCUCCCAGGAAUUGACAAUUUCCACUGGUUGAUUUUCUUUCAAUCUUGUCACCAGCAUAAUCAGCAUCACAGAAUCCAAUCAACUUAUAAUCUAGGGAUUUCCUAUACAGGAGUCCAAGAUUAGUUGUUCCUUUCAGAUACCUGAAGAUUCUCUUAACUGCAGUUAAAUGAGAUUCUCUAGGAUCUAGUUGAAAUCUUGCACACAAGCAUACACUGAAUAAAAUAUCAGGUCUAGAUGCAGUGAGGUAUAACAGAGAACCAAUCAUACCUCUGUAUAGCUUCUGGUCUACUACAGUUCCAGUAUCUUCUUUGCUUAAGGUGCAGGUUGGAUGCAUUGGAGUGUUCAUCACUUUACAAUCUUCUAGCUUGAACUUCUUCAGAAGAUCCUUUGUAUAUUUUGUUUAAUGAACAUAUACUCCUUCUUUACUUUGGUUGAUUUGAAUUCCAAGAAAGAAUUUCAAUUCUCCCAUCAUGCUCAUUUCAAAUUCAUCCUGCAUUAGCUUAGAAAAUUCUUUGCAAAGAGAUGCAUUAGUAGAACCAAAUAUUAUAUCAUCAACAUAUAUUUGCACAAUCAAAAUGUCUUUCUUAAGAGUCCUUCUGAAGAGUGUUGUGUCAACUUGUCCUCUUUCAAAAUCAUUUUUAAUUAAGAAAUUACUUAGUCUAUCAUACCAAGCUCUGGGAGCUUGUUUCAAGCCAUAUAGUGAUUUCUUAAGUUUAUAAACAUGGUCAGGAUGCUUAAGAUCCUCAAACCCAGGAGGUUGUUUCACAUACACUUCUUCUUCAAUGACACCAUUAAGAAAAGCACUUUUGACAUCCAUUUGAUAUAAUGUUAUGCCAUGAUUAAUUGCAUAGGAUAGAAGUAACCUGAUUGCUUCCAAUCUUGCAACUGGAGCAAAUGUUUCAGUGUAAUCAAUGCCUUCUUGUUGACUGUAACCUUGAGCAACAAGUCUGGCUUUGUUUCUGGUUACCUCUCCUUGUUCAUUCAGCUUGUUUCUGAAUACCCAUUUUGUUCCAAUAAUGUUCUUCUGAAAAGGUUUGGGUACCAGAUCCCACACAUCAUUCCUCUGAAACUGAUUUAGCUCUUCUUGCAUAGCUAAUAUCCAUCCAUCAUCUGAGAGAGCUUCUUCAACAGUUUUAGGCUCAAUUAUUGAAAGCAAACCUAUCAAAGAUUCUUCUUGUCUGAAAUGAGAUCUUGUUCUUCUAGGACUAUCUUUGCUUCCAAUGAUUAGCUCCUCAGGAUGUGAAGAUUUGUGCUUGAAUUUAGGUUGAAUAACCUGCUGAGUGUUAUCUUGAAUAUCCUCAGAAGCAUUUUCAUUCUGUAAUACUGGACUAGGUUCUGCUUCUGAAAUAGACUCAGCUUCUGGAGUAGUUUCAGCUUCUGGACUAGAUUCAGCUUCUGAAUGCUUUUCAGAAUCAGAAGGUUGAUCAGAUUCUGAUGCAUCUUCAGAAUCAGUUGUACCUGCAUUACUUUCACUUUGCUCUGGAGUUUUACUUCCAGGCUCCCUAUCAUCAAAUUUAACAUGCAUAGAUUCUUCAACACAAUGUGUUUCUGAAUUAUACACUCUGUACGCCUUUGACCUUUCAGAGUAACCUAAAAAGAUUCCUCUUUGAGCCUUGGCAUCAAAUUUCUUCAGAUAGUCUUUAGUGUUUAGAAUGUAACAAGUACAUCCAAACUGAUGAAAGUAAGAGAUAUUGGGUCUUCUUCCUUUAAAGAGUUCAUAUGCAGUUUUCUCGAACAUAGGUCUGAUAUAGAUCCUAUUUUGAAUAUAACAUGAAGUAUUAACUGCUUUUGCCCAGAAAUGUUUAGCUAAAUUGUUUUCAUGGAUCAUGGUUCUGGCCAUUUCUUGUAAGGUUCUGUUCUUUCUCUCUACAACCCCAUUUUGUUGUGGAGUUCUAGGAGAAGAAAAUUCAUGGAGAAUCCCAUGUUUUUCACAAAAAGAUUCAAAUGGCUCAUUUUCAAAUUCUCCACCAUGAUCACUUCUGACUUUCAAAAUUUUCAAUUCUUUUUCAGAUUGUAUUUGAGUACAGAAGCUGCUAAACACUUCACAUGCCUAGUCUUUACUUUUAAUGAAUUUUACCCAAGUCCAUCUGCUGUAAUCAUCAACAAUGACUAAUCCAUAUUUACUUCCAUAUAAAGAUGCAGUGUUAACUGGUCCAAAAAGAUCAAUAUGGAGUAAUUCUAAGGGUCUUGAGGUUGAUACAAUGUCUUUGGAUUUGAAAGUACUUUUCACAAUUUUCCCUUUCUGACAUGCACCACAAAGUGCAUCUGAAUGAUAAUCAAUGUUAGGCAAUCCUUUGACAAGUUGUAACUUGCUAAUUUUAGAAAUUAAUCUCCAAUUAGCAUGUCCCAACCUUCUAUGCCAUACCCACUUUUUAUCAUUCAAUGACAGAAGGCAAACUACCUUCUGAUCAGCCAGAUCAGAGAAAUUAAUUUUAUAGACAUUCUCAAUUCUCUUUCCCUUGAAUGUAAUGGAUUUGUCAUCCUUGUUGACUAGUGUGCAGUUGGUCUUACUGAACAUUACAUCAUACCCAUUGUCACAAAAUUGACUAAUGCUCAAUAGGUUAUGCUUCAGACCAUCUACAAGCCACACAUUAUUAAUUGAAAUGGAGGAAUUACCAAUAGUACCUGUACCAAUGAUUUUUCCAGUUUAGUUGCCACCAAACUUCACUUCUCCUCCAUCUUUCAUGGUGAGGGUAAGGAACAAAGCUUUCUCUCCAGUCAUGUGCCUUGAACACCCGCUGUCUAGGUACCAUGACCUUUGUUUCUCUUUUGCCCUUAGGCACACCUGCAGUUUUAACCACUUCAAAUUUAGGUACCCAUAUCUUCAUGGGUCCUUUUGGGUUAGUUCUGGAGGUUUUACUUUUCCUCCCUUGUACCUUGAGGUGAGUGCUGGGUAGCUUCUGAUCAUUCAAUACUUUAGGUUUAACACCUUUGGGUAUUGUUUUCUCAGAAGCAGUAGCUGCUUUGUUCUUCUGAUCCUUUGGCUUUGGGAUUUUAGAUUCUGGUUUAAUCAGAUUCUGAGGAACAGGUUCUGAUCUUUUCAGAAUUUUAAUCUUUUGAGUCUUAGGAUCAGAUUGUGUCAUAACUUUAGACUUGAGUUUUUCUGGCUUUGAUGUGAUCUUAGCCUUCGAACCAGAAGCUUCAGGUUCUGACUGAACAGCAGUUACAGCAUCUGUACCUUCAGGCACAAAGGUGGAUUUCAAUCCAUGCUUUAUACAAUCAUAGUAGCUCUUGAGACUGUAUUCUUUGGAUUUCUCCUCAGAAUAUCCAAUCCCUUUGCCAUUGUUCUUGUAUGUGCUGUAGAUCAUAGAAGCAACUUUGCUUCUGUCUAUUCCAGCCAUAAUAAAAUCAUCCAAGGCAAUCUCAUGUUUAUUGCCUGAACCUUUAUCACAUUUUUCUUGUAGCUUCUGACAAAGAAUCUUGAGUCUAUCUUCAUAUGUUGUUGAUAUGAGGUUAAACCCUUUGAGUUCUUCUUCAGAAGCUUUCAGUUCCAAUAGAGUUGUCUUUUGUUGUUUCAUUAAAUCAACAUAUUUUUCUUUUAAAUCUGUUAACUCAUUGGUUCUGUGUUCAAACAGUGAUAAAAGUUCUUGUAGAGAAUCAACAAGUUCUUGUCUAGGAAUUUUGGAAUAUACCUCAUUUUCAUCUUCUGAAUCUGAUUCAGCUUCUGAUACUGCUUCUGAUGAUACUGUUGCUACUAACCCCAUGGUUGCCUUAGCAUCAUCAUCUGCUUCUUCUUUAUCAGAACGAGAUUCACUAUCCAAAUCUUCCCAGGUCGCCAUCAAGCUCUUUUUGAUUUGCUUUCUGAAUUUACUGGAGCUGAAGCUUGGUUUCUUGGGUUUGCUUUUAGACUUCUCCUUCUGAAGAUCAGGGCAAUCAGCAAUGAAAUGACCAGGCUUCUUACAGUUGAAGCACCCCUUCUGAUCUUCUUUCUUGGAGUUCUUGUAGCCACUUCUCUUGCUCAAAAAUUUCUUCUACUUCCUUGCCAGAUACUCAAGCUUGUUGGAUAGCAUAGCCAUCUUUACAGAUUGAUCUUCAUCAGAAUCUCCAUCAGGUGAUUCUUCUUCAGAUUCACUGGCUUUGUAGGCUUUAGAAGAUUUUGAUGACUUUCCUUUAGAUGGUAAAGCAAUGGAUCUACUCUUCUUAGAGGAUUCAUGCUCAUUUAAACUCAUUUCAUGCACUUUGAGUGAACUAACAAGAUCUUCAACACUUAAAGUGUUUAGAUCCUUAGCUUCCUCAAUAGCAGUUACUUUGGGUCUCCAUCUAGAAGGCAAGCUUCUCAAAAUCUUACUAACAUGAUCAGAAGCAACAUAGCUUUUCUUCAGUAUUUGCAAUCCAGAAACUAAAGUUUGAAAUCUUGAGUACAUUUCUUCUAUACUCUCAUCAUCCUUCAUUCUGAAAAGUUCAUACUGAUGAACUAGCAUUAAAGCUUUAGUCUCUUUCACCUUCUUGCUGCCUUCAAAGUUGGCACAUAGUGAAGCAAACAUAGCCUUCGCAGUGGAUUUGUCACUCAUCUUCAUGUAUUCGGUGCGAGGUAUAGAAGCCACAAUGAUUCCUCUGAUCUUGUGGUGUUUCAUAUAAAGCUUCUUCUGAGCAGGAGUGUGUAUUCUUCUGUCCACAGCAGCUCCUUCUUCAUCUAAAUCCAGGUCAUCAUNNNNNNNNNNNNNNNNNNNNNNNNNNNNNNNNNNNNNNNNNNNNNNNNNNNNNNNNNNNNNNNNNNNNNNNNNNNNNNNNNNNNNNNNNNNNNNNNNNNNGCCCUCUUCAAUUGAAAUGUGCUAACGGGUUGUUACAUUGGGUUGGUGUCAAGACUAUCAUGUACAAGCAACAUAACUAUGGUAGAAUUGAUGACUUCAGUGUCAUAUGGUUACUUAAAAACAAAAUCAAAGUCAAUUAGCCUCUUUUCUUCUCCAACCGCAUGAUAUCCUACAAGAAUAAUCGUAGGAAAAGGCUCACAUACCCUUCCUUUAUUAGUCGUCUUCUAAGAUCUUAUCAGGUUCUCAAUGUUAGUACCUUACUCACUACACCGAGUGAUUCUAGUAGGUCAGAUGAAAAAGUCGUACAAAAGAUGCAAUAUAUUAUGGAUUCAAAAGGAAAUUGGUUCUAUGAUGACAAACUCUCUCCUGGGACUUGAUAUUAUUACUUUAACAUUGUGCUUGAACGGGUCCGGAAUCGGUUAAGCAAAUGAAAAAAAAAAACAUGGAGAAGGAAGAUCACAAUCUUGAGAAUGAUGCUGAAAUGGAGGAUGUUGAGGAAUAAACUAGUGUAGAUGGGGAGUUUGACUAUGAUCCGGAUAAUGAUCACUCUCAAGACCUUAGCCAAAACCACUCGGUGGUAGAUUUUAGUGAAGUUUUGAACGAAAUAAAGGAUUUAAAGGGGUUUAUGACUCAAAAGUUUGAUGCUCAGGAUUUACAAUUCCAGAAAUUAAAUAGAAGGUUUGAUGCUCAAGAAGCUCAAAUUCAAGAAAAUGAGGCAAUCAGUUCAGAGAUGGGAAGACCUUGGUUGUUCAACAAAUGACUUCUUUGCCUCCCCUUGCCCAAACCAUGAUGAUAUUGAUGGAACCUCAAACCCAAAUGAAUCGGAUGCUUAGUGAUGUUUUAUUUUCUUGUUAUGCACUUUUAUGAUCGUUUUCAUGUCUUUAUUUGUAAUAUUGGCUUUUCUUUCAAACCUAUUCUCUUAUGAAUUUUCCCUUUUUGAAGUUGUCAAAGGGGGGGAAAAAUUUUGUUUAUUGUUUUUGUUUAUGGUUUCGUUGCUUAUGCUUAUUGUUUCGUAUGUUGAAAACACUUUAUAUAUUUGUGUUUCGUGCGUAUUCUUGUUAUGACAUGUUCUUCUUGUUAAUCAAUGAUUGCUUGGGUAUGUGCCUAGCCAUAAACAUAGAAACAAUAUAUAUUACUUGUAUAUCUUGUAUGCAAAGUUUCAGGGGGAGCAAACAAUCAUCAACAUGGUGUUGUGACAUCAUAAAAAAGAGGGAGAUUGAAGCUUUGUUUUGCCAAACUUAUUUAUUUUGAUGAUGUUCUUUGUUGCUUUGUUUAAUUUCCAAGCAUAUUGUUUCUCUCUUUGUAGACUAUAAUUACAUCUUGUUAAAGCACCCUAUUGAUUUGUGGCAUAAUGUUUCUUUGUGUCAAAACUUCACAUGCUUUCAAAACUCUUGUUCAGUUCAAGUGAACCGAUUCACAGUUAAUUGAAUCGUAAUCGUAUCACACAAGCUCUUUGACUUUGUGUGAAUCGUCUCAAAACACCUUGAAUCUAUUCACUCCUGAAUCGUAUCAUUUAAAAUUGAAUCGUGUCAUAAAACAUUAUGAGUUGCACUGAAUCGAUUCAAUUUAAAUUUGAAUCGUAUUCCUGAAAAAAUAGAUUCAAAUUUUGUCUGAAUCGAAUCAUUCUUCAUUGUUCCUCUGUCUUGUAUUUCGCCGUCUGAAUCGGUUCAAACUUUUAGUGAGUCGAUUAAAAUAAAUAUACUCACUCUCUAUUAACUUUCAAAAUACUGAAUCAUUUGCAUUUAUUCUCUCUAGGUCUCAAAAAGUCUUUGUCCGUAAAUUCUUCAAGAUUAAACACUUUUUCUCAGAAUCACUUUGAACAUUGAGUCACAUUGAUUUGCUAGGGUGCUAGUAGGGAUUGGUUGGGCUUAAUCAAGGCUCCAAAGUGAAGUAAAUAAUCUCAUUCCACCUCCAAAGGACUUGGGGGUGUUUCUAACCGUUCAUGAAGUCGAAGGGGAAUCGUUUACUGGAUGUAGCAUCGAAGACUUGAGUGAAGAGUUCGAAGGGGUGCACCGGUAAUCAAGGGUUCGAAGAUUCAAGGAGCACCAAAUUCAAAGGUUAUUUGAUGUUUGGGGGAGUUUUUGCAUAGGGGUUGAAGAAUUAGUUUUAAUUUCAAUGAACUACUGUAAACAAAUUUGUAUUCAACAUUGUUACUAUUAGUGGACGACCUUGGUGAAGGCAUACGAAGAGUAGAUGUAGCUCUAGCGACAACAAGAAAGAGCAAACUACUAUAAAAAUAUUGGUGUUAUCUCUCUUCCCUAUCCUCUUUACUUUUCAUUAUUGCAUAUGUUAAUUGAAUAAUUUUUAGGAUAGUAGCUUGUAUUGAUCUAAGUUGUUUUUCAUCAAAAGUUAACCUAAUUCGUUGAAUUAGGUUUUAAUAAUUUGCUUAAGAUCAAUUGAGUUCAAUUUCUAUUAAAUUCUUCAAUUCCAUAUGCAUUGUGUUUGAUUGAUAGAUUGGUAUAUUUUCAUAUAGGUUUGGUUUUGAAAUUGUCAAAGUUUUGCAAAUUGUUCAAGACACAUUAAAGUUUGAUUGUAAUAUGAUUUGUAUUGUGAAUCACUCAAUUCUACUUUGAAUCUUAUUAUCACAUAGUUUUAUCUAUUUGUGUAUUGUUUUGAUUGUUCACAUGAAAUUUCAAUAGUCAAUUUAAUUGAAAUUACUUUUUAUCAAAACUUCGGAAAACUUUUUCAAAAAUCUAUUCACCUCCCUCUUGCUUAUAAUCUUAUUAGCCAUAUAGACCAACAGCUGCCACUGUUCAAAAGGCACAAAGAUCUAUUGGAAAUUUUAAGAGUGCUAGUACGGUGUUGGUGGAGACAGUAAGUGGAGGUUCAAUUUUGCCAAUAUCUGAUGUUCAUUGGACACCUCCUUUUAGUGGUUUUUAUAAGCUUAACGUUGAUGCAACAUAUCCGAUAGAGGGUGAUAAGUGGGGUAUUGGUGUUGCGGUGAGAGAUAAUGAAGGUGUUGUCGUUGGUGCUAGUUCAUGACAUAUAUUUUCAUUACCAGAUUCAAAGGUUGCAGAAGCUUUAGCUAUGCGAAAGGGUUUGGAAUUUGCAACAGACAUGUCUUUUCUAAAUCUUAUAGCAGAAUCAGCUGCUUCUAAUGUAGUUUUAGCGUUGAAUGUUCACCUACAAUCUCCCAACUAUGUUGGCUCUAUUAUUUGAGAUUGUAUUAGUUUUAAAGGUAGUUUUUGUAGUUUAAAUUGUUUGCAUGUUAGGCGUGAAGCCAACCAAGCUGCUCAUUAUUUAGCUGAAUAUGCUCUUAAGAAUUCAGAUUGCAUAUGAAUUGAAGAAACUCCGUCUUAUAUUUGUGCAGCUUUGGCAUUUGAUUUAUUGCCAAACUUUCGUUAAUGAAAUUGUCAUUAACUUAAAAAAAAAAAAAAAAAAAAAAAAAAAAAAAAAAAGAAGGAUCGUAUAUACGUUAAACAAUACAAAAUUGUAUAUAGUAGGUUGAAAAAAUUGUAUAUUAACAAAAUAUAUUGAUUUUUAGCAUAAGAAUAAUUUUGUCUUUUUAAUGAUAAAACACACUUCUCUCACUUCUAUUGAUUUAUUUUACACCAAACAAUACAUCAAAUCUACUCUAUUUUCACUUCUUUCUCUCUUCUCAUACUUUUUCUCUCUUCUUCUCUAAACCAGACACACACAAGGGAAUAUAUAUAUAUAUAUAUAUAUAUAUAUAUAUAUAUAUAGGGCUGCUAACUUAUACCCACCUAAAAACAUUAAGGUGCAAGUUAGCAAGCUGCACCCACUUAUAAUUUACUAAAACACCAUUUUGUUUAUAUUCUAAUUAAUUUUUAAUAGAAGGGUAAUUUUACUGUUUUAACCCUAAUGCUCACACCUAAUCUCCUAUUUUCAUGAACAACCCUAAUGCUCACACCUAAUCUUCUUAUCUUCUUAUAUAUUAAAGUUAACCCAUAAGCCCUAAUUUUACUGUUUUAACCCUAAUGCUCACACCUAAUCUCCUAUUUUCAAGAACAACCCUAAUGCUCACACCUAAUCUUCUUAUCUUCUUAUAUAUUAAAUUUAACUUGUAUGCCCUAAUUUCAACCUAAACCCUAUUGCAUAAUCUUCUUAUAUAUUAAAAUUAACCCAUAAGCUCUAAUUUUAACCUAAACCUUAUUGCAUAGUUUUACUGUUUUAACCCUAAUGCUCACACCUAAUCUCCUAUUUUCAUGAACAACCCUAAUGCUCACACCUAAUCUUCUUAUCUUCUUAUAUAUUAAAGUUAACCCGUAAGCCCAAAUUUUAACCUAAACCCUAUUGCAUAAUGUUACUAUUUUAACCCUAAUGCUCACACCUAAUCUCCUAUUUUCAUGAACAACCCUAAUGCUCACACCUAAUCUUCUUAUCUUCUUAUAUAUUAAAGUUAACCCGUAAGCCCUAAUUUUAAUCUAAACCCUAUUGCAUAAUUUUACUAUUUUAACCCUAAUGCUCACACCUAAUCUCCUAUUUUCAAGAACAACCUUAAUGCUCACACCUAAUCUUCUUAUCUUCUUAUAUAUUAAAGUUAACCCGUAAGCCCUAAUUUUAACCUAAACCCUAUUGCAUAAUUUUACUGUUUUAACCCUAAUGCUCACACCUAAUCUCCUAUUUUCAUGAACAACCUUAUUGCUCACACCUAAUCUUCUUAUAUAUUAAAGUUAACCCGUAAACCCUAAUUUUAACCUAAACCCUAUUGCAUAAUUUUACUGUUUUAACCCUAAUGCUCACACCUAAUCUCCUAUUUUCAUGAACAACCAUAAUGCUCACAGCUAAUCUUCUUAUCUUCUUAUAUAUUAAAGUUAACCCGUAAGCACUAAUUUUAACCUUAACCCUAUUGCAUAUCUUCUUAUAUAAUAAAGUUAACCCGUAAGCCCUAAUUUUAACCUAAACCCUAUUUUGCAUAAUUUUACUGUUUUAACCCUAAUGCUCACACCUAAUCUCUCCUAUUUUCAUGAACGACCCUAAUGCUCACACCUAAUCUUCUUAUAUAUUAAAGUUAACCUGUAAGCCCAAAUUUCAACAUAAACCCUAUUGCAUAAUUUUACUGUUUUAACCCUAAUGCUCACACCUAAUCUCCUAUUUUCAUGAACAACUCUAAUGCUCACACCUAAUCUUCUUAUCUUCUUAUAUAUUAAAGUUAACCCGUAAGCCAUAAUUUUAACCUAAACCCUAUUGCAUAAUUUUACUUGUUUUAACCCUAAUGCUCACACCUAAUCUCCUAUUUUCAUGAACAACCUUAUUGCUCACACCUAAUCUUCUUAUAUAUUAAAGUUAACCCGUAAGCCCUAAUUUUAACCUUAACCCUAUUUCAUAAUUUUACUGUUUUAACCCUAAUGCUCACACGUAAUCUCCUUUUUUCAUGAACAACCCUAAUGCUCACACCUAAUCUUAAUAUCUUCUUAUAUAUUAAAGUUAACCCGUAAGCCCUAAUUUUAACCUAAAUCCUAUUGCAUAAUUUUACUGUUUUAACCCUAAUGCUCACACCUAAUCUCCUAUUUUCACGAACAAUCCUAAUGAAAGGAUUUUCAUGGAGAUUAUGAUGUAACUGUUACACAUCCUCUAAUCCAAUACUUCAAAAAAUUGAAUAUAAGUGUAAAGAAAGGAUUUUCACCGGAACCUAUUAUCAAUGUAAAAAUGCAUGCCUAAAGAGUAACCCACUAUUAUAACUCCUACUGAAGCUAGCAAUAUUCGACUGUGUCAAUUUUGAAAGAUUAUUAUUGUAAUAAAAGGGUUUUGAAAGAUUAUAGCAACAUUUUUUUUUGUUAAUAUUACACUUUUCAUCCAAAUUAGAACUGAACUCUCUUUGUUAAAUAUCUACCGCAAAAUGCACCAGAAAUUUGCAAUCUAUAUAAACAGGUGGAAGAAACAAUUCAACAAACAGUUAAAGGGCAUCAUUUACGGUAAUGGCCAAAUAUUCGAUAAAAGGAAAAUUAUUUAAAUAAAACAUUUUACAUGUUAAGGUUAAGAAUGAGCUUUUUUUAGGUAUAUAAUAUAACAUUAACAUAUAAUUUUUACAAAAGAAUGAAGUAACAUUUUGUCAAAAAAAAAAAAAAAAGAUGAAGUAACAUACCAAUAAUAUAACAUUGACAUAUAAUUUUAACAAAAGAAUGAAGUAACACACCAUUGAUAAAAAUUAAUAUUUUUAACGUGAAUAAGUGUGGUGUCUGAGGUUCGAAUUCCAACAUCUGCAUAUAUUUGGGACCACAUAUUUCAUUCUCUUUGAUAUGCAUUGAGAUUUGUUUUUGUCUACUACCACUACUAAAAAAACAAAAAUUAGUGAGGGAAAUUUUGUGAGGGAAAACGUAAAAUUCCUCUCUAAUUCCGUCACUAAAUUUUGCGACCAAGGAAUUUGUGAGGAAUUUCAUUUUUUCCGUCACUAAUUUCCCUCGCUAAUUUUGCUUUUUCUAGUAGUGUACAUCUACAAUGUAUAUGACCCGUGCGGCAGCGCGGGUGGAAAGUCUAGUGUGUGUGUAUAUACACACACACACACACACAAACACACACGUAAACUUAUUUCACAUAUGUUUUUCCACGUAGAUUAACUGCAUUCCAAGCCAUUCCAAGCCAAUUUCAAACACAAAAUCAAGUAAGUUUUUUGAAUCAUAUUGCAUUGCUAUUUUGUGAUUGAUUUGUUAGUUUUUUUAGGUUAAAUUGCGAUUAUAGAGGUUUAUUGAUUUUAUGAUGUUAUGAUAGUUUAGGUUGUUUGAAUUGUUAGGUUUAGGUUAGAAUUGUUUAGAUACUUAGAAUUGUAGAAUUGUUAUGAAAUUAUGGUAGAAUUUUUAGGAUUGGAUGAAUUGUUGUGUAAUCGUUGCGAUUAGUUUAGGUUUGUUAUGAAAUUUUGUUGUUAUGAAUUAUUGUAGAAUUGUUACAUAGGUUUUGAUCGCCAAUUUGUAUAUGCAGAUAUGUCUCAGAAUCAGAGAAACGUUGAGUUGAACAACAGAAAGGAGGGUGACGACAAGAAGAAAGAAAAAUCGUCGAUGACAUGGCACGAAAUCACAUGUCAUGGAUCCGUCAAAAAGAAUGAUUCAAAGGUGUUGGUGAAUAAUCAUUCAAGGGUGAGGAGGAGCGGGAGGACAUACUAUUUUUGUCCUCACCCAAAAGCAGUUGCCCCAGGGACUGUCAAGGACAACCCGAUUGACUUGUGUGACGAUUGAAUGUAAUUGUUUUUUAUGUUUUGGAUCUUUUUUUAUGUUUUUUUUAUGGUACAUUUUGCUUGACAUAUUUGUACUUUGAAUAAAUUCGUGUUUUGAAUAAUUUCAAUUAAAAUCGUGUUUUGAAUAAUUUUGAUUGAAGUCGGGUUUUGAAUAAUUGCGUAUUCGAAUAAAAACUAAUUAAAUCUAACAUGAAUUCAACUAAUUAAAAAUGACGGUAUUCAAGUUUCAAAAGAAUGAGGUUCAUUUAUUGACACUUCAAUACAUUCAUAUAAACCGGCCUAACAAGAAGUUAAUCUUUUGACAGGAACAAUGGGAAUGUCGGUCGAACAUUGGAGUUAUGCCGUUUGGCAAGUUUGAACUACCCCAUUCAGAGAAAGACAAUUGUUGUAGUUGGAAGGUGCAUUCAUUCGGUACCUAAUGACAAUCUUCUCGUAGAAUCAAACUUUUGAUGAUAUCUUCAGUUGAUCUUAGCAACGUCACCCGCAUAUCGAUCCACUGGAACAUGUUGUAUUCCCAAAACAUGCUCGUCACGUUUUUGUCGUUCCUUAAUUACACCCAAGUGAAUGAUACUCUCCCCUCGUCGAGCGUUGGACGUUUAUACCGAACGUGUUCCACCCUCCUUGUGUCUCUCGGGUUGACUCCUUGGUUGAAUUCAGUCAGUUCAUCCUUGAGACCUCUUAACGUUACACAAAGGCAACGAACCUUCAACCUCUGAGGUUCUCCGCCGUUGAAUUGUGCAUGAACAUCGAUCCACCCGGCCAUUGUUUCAAAUCUACAAAAUUAGAAAUUAAAAAUAAUCAAUGAAAAAUUCAUUCAAACACUUGUAGUGAAAAUUUGACAUAAACCCUAAAAAUCCUAAACAAACCCUAAAAAAUUUAUAAAAUUAUAAAGAAAAAUAUAAAUUUAAGCAAUAUAACUUCAUUAUAAUAGGUAUUCAUAAUAUAUGUUAAUAGAAAUUCAAAUCUACAACAUAACUAUAUUAAAAACAAAUAUUCAAACCCUAAAAAAUUUAUAAAAUUGGAAAAAAAAAUAUAAAUUCAAGCAAUAUAACUUCAUUAUGACAGGUAUUCAUAAUAUAUGUUAAUAGCAUUUCAGAUCUACAAUAUAACUAUAUUAAAAACAAAAAUUCAAAAUUUAAUAAUUAAACAACAACUAAAAUUAUAAACAUAUAAACACAUAUACUAACUAAAAUGUAUGAUAACUUACUUGUGAUUUAGUGGAAGAAAUUUUGGAUGAUUUGGUAGAGUUUUUUUCGAGAGAGUGAAAAUUUGAGAGAAAGAUGGUGAUGGUGAGGGUGAUGAUGGAGUGAGUGUCUAGAUUAUGGCUACUGACUUGAAUAUAUCACGAACACAUGGGCAUUUAACAACCGCUAGCUUCCAGCGACAGUUAACUGUUGGCGCUUAGACUAACGAUUGUUAACUGUCGCUGGGGGUAAAAACAUCAUUUCCUUGUGUCGAUAGGAAGUAUUCAUUGUCAAAAAAGCAAUCUAUCUAUAUACUAAUAUAAAAAGUGAUGUCUGUUGAUUUUACCUUUUUGCCCCUCUUAGGGGCAAUUUGGUAAUUUACUAAUUCAUGGCUUGGCCUAUGGAUUUCCAUUUUUGCCCCUAACCAACUUUUUUUAAUUAUUAUCUAUUUUAUAUUUUUAAUAACUUUUAACUAUUUCCUAAUUUUUAUAUUUUUAACUAUUUUUCAAUUUUUUUCUCCCAAAUUUAGUUGCUUCUACAUUGCCGUUGUGGGAGAUUAAGGUAUCGUUUGACCCAACUUUUUUCCAAAUUCUCUACAUUUUUAAGGAGAAGUUAGGUCAAAACACAAUAUCAAUUAAGUACUUUUUUUGAACGCAUAAAAUUGAAUGGAAUGAGCUUUGACCAAAAGUUGUUGGAUGUUACUUUCAAAAACUACUUCUCGACAAUUUAUUUCACAAGCACCUUUUUUCCACUCACGCUGGGAACCUUUUCUUUUAUUUUUUAAUAUUAUAUUUCAAUAUGUUUUUCCUUCCAUUUAACUCUAUUUUUUUUAACCGUUCCAUUUAAAUUUUUAAGGACGUUUCAUUUAAUUUUAUUAUCUUUUUUUCAAAGAAAUUUUAUUAUCUUUUUAUCACUUAUAUAUUUGAUUUCAAUAUCGUUUAAUCAUCACAACCUCAUAAAUAUUUUUAUUCACGCUGUCAUUUAAUGAUCCCAGAUAUUUUUAUUUCCUUUCUUCAACCUCGCGAAUAUAUCCAUAACGCAUUAAUGUUUAGAGUAAUAUUUUAUUUCCGUCUCUCUGUUUUUUUGUUACGCUAAUGCAUAUAACUUUUUUAGUGUUGCUUGGUUAAGUGCUACCCCACCAAAUUUUUUUAACUAUUUUCCAAUUUUUAUAUUUUUAGAAACUUUUAACUAUUUUUCAAUUUUUUAUUUUUAACUAUUUUCCAAUUUUUUCUCCCAAAUUCAGUUGCUUCUACACUGCCGUUGUGGGAGAUAAAGAUACCGUUUUUACCCGAUUUUUUUUCAACUUCUUUACAUUUUUAAGGAGAACUUAGGCCAAAUACAAUAUCAAUUAAGUACUUACUAAAAAAUGUACUUUUUUUAAUGCAUAAAAUUGAAUGGAAUGAGCUUUGGCCAAGAGUUGUUGAAUGCUACUUCAAAAAACUACUUCUCGACAAUUUAUUUCACAUGCAUCUCUCUUUAAUUCAUGUUGGGAACCUUUUCUUUUACUUUCUAAUAUUAUAUUUCAAUAUGAUUUUUUCUUCCAUUAAAUUUUUUUUGAACCGUUCCAUUUAUUUUUUUUAAAGAGGUCCGAUUUAAUUUUAUUACCUUUUCUCAAAUGAAUUUUAUUAUCUUUUUAUCACUUAUAUAUUUAAUUUUAAUAUUGUUUAAUCAUCACAACCUCACAGAUAUUUUUAUUCAUGUUGUCAUUUAAUGAUACCAAAUAUUUUUAUUUUCUUUCUUCAACCUCGCAAAUAUACACACACACACAUUAGCGUUUAGAGUAAUACUUUAUGUGUGUCUGUUUUUUGUUACCCUACUGCGUAUAAUAUUUUGUGGCGUUGCACAAUGCGUAUGAUUAUUUUUAUGAAAUUUUGAUUUUAAUUAAAAGUAAAAUUGUAGAUGUCUUUUAUUGAAAAAAGGUCUAGAUACCUAAAAAAAUUAUAUAUAUAUAUAUAUAUAUAUAUAUAUUUUGAGGGAAUAUAUAUAAAUAUAUAUAUUGCUCCUUUGUAUUGUAACAAACUAUGCAUAUCUUUUUCUUAUUCAAAUAAACUAAACAUAUAUGUUUCCAUGACACCAACAAUGUAACAAAUAUAAUAUCAUAUAAUAUAAAUUCUUAUCUUCUUGAAAGACACCAAAAAAUUAUAACGAAAUUUGUCAUAGAGUAUAAUUGAAAUAAAAAAACCAACCAUUUUGAUAUUAUUUAUGUUAUUAUUUCAGGCUCCGUAAAUUGUUUUUCCUAUUCAAAUAUUUAACAAGUCAUUUAUAUGAUUAUACAAAUUUGUAUUCAUGUUACACAAAAUAAACGUUAUUGAGUUAAUAUAGUACUUGUAAAAAAAUAUAUCUUUUAUUUUUUAACAUUUUUAGCCUUCAGAAAAUAUUUUAAACAUUUUUUAUUUAUUAUGUUAAUUCAUAAUAAAUUCAAAGUUUUGUCCUCAUGAGUUUAGCUCAGAUGAUAGGAACAAUGCAUAAAUUCAAAGUUUUGUCCUCCUGAGGUUCGAACCCUGGACACCAUAAAAAAAAAGUUUGUACAAUAUUUUGUCAAACAACAUUUAACUUCAAAAUAGCUUUAAAAUUAAAAAAAAAAAAAAAACAAAGAAACCAAAUAACUUUAGCUUCUUUCUUAAAGGCAUUUAUUUUAACUUCAUUUUGAAGUAACUUUUAGAACGUAAAAAACCUUGGCCAAACGGUAUCUAAGUUCAGCUGGGAACAUUGUUUCACUUUCUUCUUCAUAAGAGGUCAUUUUCUUCGUUUUUUCAUGGUUCUGAGACCAUACAUGACUUGAGUUGACUGAUUUUUAUGGCUUGAAACAUUGUUUUAGUUUUUGCUUCAUCAUAGGUGGUUUUCUUCCUUUUUUCACGAUUCUGCAUUUUAAGGGUUUUAUUUUUUGAAGUCCAAAAAUUUGUGCAUUUAAGAUCAAGUUAAUUUGAUGAUACAAAAAAUGAGCACAGAGAAAUAUGUUAGCUUCUUUCGAUAUCAGAAUGAAAAAAGAGAAUAAAAUUAAAUGAUGUAUUAUUGUAUUUUUGUAUAGGACUUUCAAUGUUAAGGGAUUAUGACUACAUUAAGGAUCUCAAAAAUGAUUUGAACAUUUGGAAAAUAGGACUUGGAGUGCUGGAUUCUUGGAUUGUGAUCGGUAAUAAUGAGAAUCAACAUAUGAAGCUCAUUAUUUGUGAUGCAAAUGUUAGAUGAGUUAGUUAAGAUUUGUUGUAAUUUCCUUUAUGAUUUACCAAUGUUACUUAUUAGUGUGCAUUUUGAUUUAUUUAUAUUUUUUGGUUUCUUUCUCGGAUUUAGGGUGAUCGAGUUCAUGUAAUAACUCGAUAUAGAGAGUUGGAGCUUUGGAAGGCUUUGAUCGUGGAAAACAAGACUUAUACUUUAAGCUCAUUAUCAUGUGUUUGAUAAUGACAUUGCAUUUAAUCCCUUUAAGGUUGUUUUUGGUUCUGGUACAAAGGUGCAGAAGUAUGACAAGUUAACUACGUUCUUACUCAUUGCAUUCAAAACUGAUGUUUUAUAUGGUAUGGUUAUGUGCUUUAAUUUAUUUCUGUGUUUUCUCCUAUUAUAAUGUUCUUAUAGAUGUAAUUUUUUUUUUUUAAGAAAUCAUCGGGCUUCUUCAUGAGAUUGUCAAGACAACGCCAAUUGGGACUAGAAAGAAAUUGUGAACGAACAUUUUGUUGAAAGAUAAAAGGUAUUAUUUUCUAAUUUAUCAGCAUCAGAUGAUAGGAUUUUGUAUAAGUUUGAUAAUGACCUGAAAGAUGUCUUUUCUUAUGCAGUGGGAAUAUGGUUGAUGUAACACUAUGGGAAAUAUAUUCCGUAGCUUUAUAAUUUACCAUCUAUUUACCUUGAGUUCUUUACUUCCAUUUUGUAGUCAAUGGCAACCCAAAUAUAUGUAAGUUUGCGUUAUGAUUUCACAAUACAGUGUUAGAGUAACUUAUUAUUUCACAAUCUGAUUUGAUUGUUUUUUGACCAUGUUUCUUGAAUUGUUGUCGUGACCUUAAAACUUCUCAAGCUCAGAGUCAAAGCAUCAUUCAUAACUUAAGUCAGAGUUCGGUUUCUUCUCAACGUACUUCGUACAACGAUUUUUCCAAUCUGUCUCAGGUUAGGUCAAUUGCUGAAUUUAUAAACUUAGUCAAGGUCUGCUUUUUUUAUGCACAAACAUGCUUUGAGUUUUUUUACGCACAAAUUAAAAAUACAUAUUGCAUUAUUCUUUAUUUCAUGUGCAUAAUUUGUGUUAGGAUACAUAUUGCAUCACUAUUUGGAAAGCAACUAAAUUCAAUCCUAACCAGUUUGGAUGAUAUUAUGAGAGUUGCACCAAAUAUUUGAAGACAUCAAUGUCAAAUGGUGAUAGCUAUAGAUGCACAUGCGGGAGUGAUGCUUAAUUUCCAUUUGUUUCAACAAUGUUAAUUGGUAAACGGGAUUCAUAUAAUGCACAUGCAUGCAUUUAUCUAGCCUUUAUAGGAAGAUAACAGGAAGAUAAAUUAAAAGUCAUAAUACAUUUUCUUUAGCUUAAAAUUAGUUAUGCUACCUUUAUUUAUGAAUUAUAUGUAACUAUAUUCGCAUACAUCUUAUCCAUGUUAAUAUGCAUUAGACUAAUAUUGUUGUUAUUUCCCUGUUUAGCAUUUCCCGAACGAGGUGUCAAGAACAAUUCUAAAAGGAAAGCACAAAACAAUCACUCUCAUUGAUGACCAGACACAGAGAAAGUAUAAGUGUCGCCUCAUUACUGCCGAAAUAGCAAGCUAUGAAAAAUACUUGGGUGGGCAAUGAUUCAAUUUCUGCAGAGAACAUGUGAUGGAAGAAGGUGGUAAGCUCAUCUUUGAUCUCAAAAAGUCACCAAAGAACUUACAUGUUCGAGUUGUUCCAAAGUAGAUCUUUGCUGCUGAAUUAUUUGAACUUCUACUAUUUUGACGUAUCGCUUUGGACUGUAAUUGUAAACUAUCUUGACUUUGGGAUGACAUUUGUUCUUUUUAUUUUGUCUGAUGUAAAUAUUGGCAAAAAUCCUUUUUUGGUUAGUCUAUGAUACUUGCAGUUUUUUUAUAAACACUAUUAUGUAACGUUAAUUUGCACAUUGUUGAUUCCUUCAUUGGUUCCAAUUAGUAUCAUGUAAAUUUUAAUGUUGUUUUCCUAAUCUCUUGAACAAAAUAGAACAUGUUCUUUUCCUACAGCAAAUCGUUAUAAUGUUUUGGUAAAUAUUUUGAAAAUGUACUUAUAUAUAUAUAUAACAUCUAAUUAACACUACAAUUUGUUUUGUCCCUAGCACUUCCCAAAUGAGAUAUCAAGGACAUUUCUAAAAGGAACACAGAAAACAAUCAUACUCAUCGACAAACAAGCUAAAAAAAGGUAUAAGGGUCGCUUGAUAACAGCAAAGAGAGCAAUUUACAAAAAAAUACUUAGGCGGCCAAUGGUUCAACUUUUGCUGAGAACAUAUGUUAGAGGUAGGUGAGAAACUAAUUUUUGAUCAAGAGAAACCACCUAAAAAUAUGCACGUUCAAGUCGUUCCCAAAUAAAGAUUUGGUGUUCAUGAUCCACACUUUCAACAGAUCACCUUAACUCUAAUCCUAGACGAGAUUAUCUUCACUCACUGACGCUACUUCUUUUCUUGAUUUCAUCUGAUGUAAAUAUGGGUAUCAAAUCAUUUUUUGGUAACUCUAUAACAACAACACUCUUUUUUAUAAUUUUAUAAUUUUGGAUAAUGUGUAAUUAUAAUUCUCACAUCAUUGGUUCCUUUUUGGUUCCAAUUGUUUUCAUCCUAAAUAUUAUGUCAAUUCCUAAUCUCAUAAACUGAUUAUAUGCUCUCUUCAUCAGCUCGUACAUAUUUUAUGAUGAAUCACAAUGUUCCGUCGUUUUAACAUCUCUUCCUUCGAAGAAUUUUUUUAUCGAAUACGUUAUUGAACCCAUGUUGAAUUAUCUUUUCUUCAACAAAUACUAUUGAGACCUCUGCAUGAGAUAUCAAUGUGCAGACAUAUUAGAUUAAACACAUUUACAACUAUUGAUGGGAUCAGAAGACUUUUCAUUCUAUCAAGAGGCUUUACAACUAUUGGCCAUUAUAUUUUUUAUUUAUGUUAAUUAUUUGGUCUUUAUUGUGCAGAUAAUGGUAAGCCUAAUUUCUGCAACAAUUGGUCGGGUUCGAAGUUGCUUAUUAACUUGAAGCAUCUGGUUGUCGACACUUUUUAGGGCUAGGUGAGUUUGUUUUAGGCUGCAACUGAUGGAUAAUGAUAUAAUUUGAACCUUUUUUUUGUUUGGCUGAAGAUUUUACGUCUUAAUUUGUGGUUUUAAGGAAUUAUGCGAACCUGUGCUUCAAUGUAUAUGCUUGGUGUAUGAUCUCAUAAAAUAUUAUGAUGAUUUUUAUAUCCUAUUUAGUGUAUGCUUCGUUCUGUUGUUUGGUUGAUCAGAGGAAAUUGUGCUUUAUUAUUCAAUUCAAAUCCAUUAGUUAUAGGCGUUUAAUAUUCUUUCUUUAUUGUGGUAGGUUUCAAACUCAAGUUCAUAGCUUUGCUCAGAACCUCAGUCAUCAGUUCUAGGUUUCUCGCGUGUUCCUGUUGUGAUUGAGAAAAUUAAGGCUCACCUUCAUCCUGGUGGAAUGGAGCUAGAGGAGGGACAAGCAAAUGAGGUUUGUUGCGCUUGCUUUGCCUUUUAUUUACAAAUUAUUCAUCUAUUUAAUUUUGCUUGGUUUAUGUUUGUCUUUUCAUUCUAUUGUUAUAGGAUGUUGUGCACCAUAAUCCAACUCAUUCAUUCAAUGUUGAGAAGAUGAAUGUUGGUGUUGAAUACUCAAAGUCGCUUGACACUCCUACGAUACGUCAACAUUUUUUCUGUCCAACGCUUUUAGGAGAUAUCUUGAAUAAUAAAGGAAUGCAUCUGUCAUGCAAAGAGCUUUGAGAAAUAUGUAUUUUCUCUAAUGACUGAUAGAAAAAGAGGUAGAAGAUUAAAACUACAAAGGAUGUAUUUUCUCUUAAUUUGAUUAAAAGUUAUCUUUUCCCUUAACAGAUCUGACCAUAGGCACCCGUACAUGAAUGAUUUUUUAUUCAAGCAAAUGCUUAUGUGACUUAUUAGACUUGUCUUUCUUUCAUAGUUUUGUCCUUUUUAAUAAGUAUUGUUAUGAAGAAUUCUAAUGACCAUUUGACUAUGAUUUUUUUCAAGACCUGCUAUUCAUGCUUUAUCAAGUCUAUAAUUAGUUAGUCACGUAGAACUGUGAAUAUUUUGCGUCAAAAAAUAUUGUUGAUAGAAGGAAACUUUUUAUUUAAGUAGACCUAUGAAUAGUUUACAACAUUAGUUACCUUAAGAGAUUGAUUUAAUUUUGGUAAUGAAGUAUAGAAAGUUGGAGGGAACUUUUUAUUUAAAAAUAAGUUUAACUCUUCACAUUUUCCAUAUAUUGUUUAUUAUAAAUACUAAGCCAUAUAUCUGAUUAUUGUAGAAUGCUAAGGAGCUAGCCAUGGUUUGCGAGUUAUAGCAUAUCAAUGGUUGAGCCACGUGUUUCAUUAAGUGGUUUUCGUUAAGUGAAAAAUACAGUCCAUUUGUCAACUAUAUUGUAUGCUUUCAAUGUAGUUCAUCUUAUUUCAUGUCAACAUUAAUGCAAUAUUGCAUGACAACCACGUAUUUCUAUAGUACAUAAGGGUAAAUACCGAUAUUUUUUACGAGUCUCUGUGUGAGUGUGGGUAUGUACACAUUGCAGGACUCUGCUAACUAUGGCUUAUUUAUAUUGAUCGGUGAUUGUGUGCUUAGAAAAUUUUGGGUGUUAACUUAAGUAUAGCAGAAAAGUAUCGUCCAUAUGAGGCAUAUAAGGAUGCGCGUAGUAUAUUAGUGAUUCACAAUAUUGCACAUCAGGUGAGUUAAUUCAUGUUUUUAUUUAUUUAAUUUUUUUUGGGGGGUGUUGCUAGGCAAUAGCAUCUAUAACUGUAUACUUUGAUCAAUACUCUUUCCCUUUUGAGAAAAAACACUCCCCAAAGCACUGCCCUCCCAAAGGCACAUGUUCCUUCGACAAAAUAUAACCUCAUUAGUCCUUUUGAGAAGAAAAAAAACACUCCCCAAAGGCACUCUUAAACUCCGAAACAGACCCUAGGUGGGAUUUAUUUUGAAGUUCAUAACCAUUUAAAAUAUAACCUCAUCAGUCCUUUUACAUUGAAUUGGAUAAUUUGAACACUUUUAAUUGGUUGUGCAUGUACAUGCAUUUCAAAGAUGCUCAUAUAUGCUACUGAACAAUAUGAGAAGUGAUUUUGUCUUUGAUUUGUGAUGACACAAUUAGAAUGAAUAAUGUUUAGUUGAAUGUAACUUCUACCUACACAAGGAAUUUGUGACGGGUUCAAGAAUAACCAAGGCAAGUAUUAACAUAAAUAAUUAGUUAUCAUCUAUCACAACAGGGACUUGCUUUUUCGUUUGAUUUUACAUCAUAUCUGAUUUCUUGCUUUCCUUUCCUCGGAGUCCUAUUUGUUGAACUAUAAGUAGUUUCAAUCAAAAUUUAGGUGUCACUAUAUUGUUGUUGCUUGCUUUUUCAUUAAUUAUAGUCAAUUGUUGCUCAACGAUGUGUGGUUGUGGUUAUGGUAUCUUUGCAGAUAUUAAAAUGGCUUGGGAAAGAUUUUGGAAUCAAAAUUCUUGACAAAGUUCGGUUUAAGAUGGAUCAUCAAAAGUCAAAGGAACAAUUGAUUUUUGAAGAUGGGGUGAGCAAAAAUAAAGCAGCAAAGGCUAGACUUCUUAGAAAAAAUGUUCUUCAAGUUAAGAAAACAAAAAGGUUGAAAACAAUGUCAAAAGAAAAUGCUCCAAUCUCAUGUAAAUGUUCUAUUUUUUAUUUUUUUUUAUGAAUAUGAAGUUUGCAUUUUCACUCAUAUUCUAAUCUUUUGAAAAUUGUAUUCUGGCAUGUAUAUUUUGUAUAAUAUUUCAAUGACAACUUCACUUCGUGGUGAUAAUAACCAACUUCGAAAUAAUACUAAACAUGAUCACAACUUCUACAGUUGCAUUACCUAACAAACCAUUAAUAUAUACCGUUGUGAAUUCUAAGGUGAAUCAGGAAAUAGAAGAAAGUAAUGUUACCUCACCUAAAGUCUCUCUACUCCUCCGCCGAGUAACCAAGCAAUACAAGAAUCAAUCCACAACAGGAAGAAAUGGAUAAAUAAUGAGGAGAACUCUUCAAAAGUGGUGAAAGAAUUUCGUAAGCUUAUUUUCUUUGGAAGAAGGAGUUGAAGAACCUUUGUGGAUUGAUACUUUUUCACGGAGGGGUUCCCAUGAACUUAUGAAUUGUUCAUGGAAGUUAUGAGUUCUCUUUAUCCAUGCUUUUGGUUAUUCAAUAUUUCAAAAGAGAGUUUACUUUGUCCAUUAUUAGCUCAGUAGAAAGUGUUUGGCAAAUUGAAUUAUUUGUUGUUAUUGAACAUACUCAUUCAUUCAUGUGACAUGGUAGUCAUAUGUGGAAGAUUGUAGAUAGUUUCUAACUUCUCACACCUUAUAACAAUAAGACCAUGUGGAUUGGAAUUGCUAUCAUACUAAGGAAGGAUACCAAGCAUAAUACAUUUUUGGAAUAAUAAUAUUUUCCUUUAGAACAAAUUUUUUACAAGAUACGUAAUUCAACCCGUCAAUGGACAAAUAUAAUAUCAAAAGUAUAUAUUAAUGAUAGGAUGGUAUGUUAUUAUAAUGUAACUAUUAUAUGAGUAGUAUUCUAUUUAAAACUAAGUUGAUACUUCAUGGUUUUUUAGAUUUAUAUGUUUGGGAUCUAUGUUUAUCUCUAAUAAUCUAUUCCCCUAUAACAAAAUUUUCCGAAAAAAGAUAAUACAGCUCGUUUGUAACUAGUUUUCUAAACUUAAAACUUGAACCACUAAACCUCAAAAAUAUAUACUACUACUUUCACUUUUUUCAUACAGUAUAGGUGCAGAGCAUAGUUACGGGAAAAUAGAUAGGUUUUUACAUAAAACAUGAAAAGAUUAUAUGCUAGUUAGGGAGUCAUGCCAAAAGCGUUGGGAACCAUUAUGUCCAACAAUGUUAACUAAUUUUAACCAAUCAGGUCACUCACCCCUCCGUCUUUUAUGGUGGUAAACAUAUAAUAAUAAAAAAAAUGUGUAUAUAUAUAUAUAUAUAUAUAUAUAUAUAUAUAUAUAUAUAUACCUAAAACUUAAAAUUUGUUCAUUUGAAUUCAUAGUCAACCAGGUGACUAGGCGGCACUGGUGCCUUGAGCAUUGACACGAGGUAAAUCAAAAUCAAAAUGGCAUGGUGAUUGUUUUAAAAUCAAGGCUUCAGAAUUGGACAUUAGGCAAAGGAAAACAAAAACAAUCAAAUCAUAAUCUAAAAUCAAAAUUUCAGCUUUGGUUAUGUGAUAAACUGGCUUUUUGAUAAGAUGAAAAUAAAAGAAAAAUAGUCUAAAAUAACAUUUCCAUGACAAUAUCCAGCUAGGGAUGAACCGAAGUUGCGCAGAUUAUAAAAGACAUAUAACACCAAAAUUGAUAAAGAUAUUCAAAACACAAGAGUCGAAUAAAAACUACAAAACACUCAGUCCAUAGAUAUUUAAGCAGCAACUGCUUGUUGAGCCGCAGCAGCCCUCUUCCUAGCUUCCUCGAUGACUGUANNNNN